Molecule: long non-coding RNA, 77989 nt
Filed under: Triticum aestivum (bread wheat)
Lineage: Eukaryota; Viridiplantae; Streptophyta; Magnoliopsida; Poales; Poaceae
Description: long non-coding RNA (TAES_LNC008516)
Source: RNAcentral
UGUUUUUUUUGUUUUUUGGUUUGUAAUUUUAUUUGAGCACAAGUCUGUAUUAAUUGAUAAGACUCGGAGACAUUUCAUUUGGAUUGCUGUGCCAGACCUACAAAUAUGCCAAUCGGGCUGAAUGUGCAUUCAGCAAUAGUAGUAGUAUAGAUGGACCAUAAGUGGCACGCAUCGGAAAGGGCCAAGAUGCUGGCUAAAAAAAGGAUGCUGUUGUAGCCAAAAAAAAGUACAGCGGCCUGGCUUAUGUAUGUUAGUUGAUAUUAUUGAUCCAUAUACUCUAUAAGUGUUUAUAUGUCUGUUAGUUCUGUACAUUCUUGGUUGAUUGACUCGGUAUUUGAAUCUUGAUACAUCGCUUGUGUACAUAUCUAAAUGGGAGUACACAUUAUGUUGUGUGUGACAUUUGAGUUGGACAUGAAGUGUUCCAAAUAUUCGAAUUCACCUUAAAUUGGAUUCUAGUUUCUGAAUUUGAGUAUCGGCAUUUGUAAACCAUAUUCAUAUAUGACAGUGGAAUACAUCUUUGUCGUCCUUUGUAAAACACAUAGAAUGAUUUAUAAAGAUUCAUAUAGGAAUACAAAAUGGAUUCGAAUUUAUAAAGAUUCAUAUAGGAAUACAAAAUGGAUUCGAAUUUAUUUGCCAGGGUAAACGUGGAUGCUUAUUGUCCCAAAAUUCGAAAGAAGCAGCAAAAUGUCCACUCCCACGUGGGCUGCCCAAAGUCAAGUGUUUGGGAGAUGGAAAUUACUGUCUACCCAUUACACGGACAAUCCAUCGGCCCGAUUUCCACUGCUCUAAAUAGGGGUAGGUUAGUAACUUCAAUUAGACGUGACACGACCGCCUCUGAGCCCAUUCCAACACGGUGGGCGUCAAACAUGGGUGGCAAAACUCAUUUGAUUCAAGCUCGUCCGAAAGACCUCCGUUUCUCCCUCCAUUCCCCAUUCAUACACGGUGGGCGGCAAAACAAACUCGACUCAGCCGAAAUCGAUGUAGGCAAAUAUUUUCAAUAGGGGCAGGUUUGUAACUUCACUCAGACGUGACACAACCGCCCUACCAGUCAGCCCCGUUCAUACACCGUGGGCUCCCACCAUGGGCGCCAACCACCCUCUCCUCGCCCGAAAUCGCUCUGGGCAAAUAUUGGCGAGAUGCGAGAUUACCGUCCUAUCCCCAACCGACGAGACUUCCAAUUUUUAAACGAGGGCUAAGUUCGUAACUUUCCCAUAUUUCAGACAGGCGCGUCCCAAAAACAUGGUUCCCCGUACCUUGUUGGAAAUAUGCCCUAGAGGCAAUAAUAAAUGGUUAUUAUUAUAUUUCUUUGUUCAUGGUAAUUGUCUAUUGUUCAUGCUAUAAUUGUAUUGUCCGGAAAUCGUAAUACAUGUGUGAAUACAUAGACCACAAAGUGUCCCUAGUAAGCCUCUAGUUGACUAGCUCGUUGAUCAACAGAUAGUCAUGGUUUCCUGACUAUGGACAUUGGAUGUCAUUGAUAACAGGAUCACAUCAUUAGGAGAAUGAUGUGAUGGACAAGACCCAAUCCUAAGCAUAGCAUAAAAGAUCGUGUAGUUUCGUUUGCUAGAGCUUUUCCAAUGUCAAGUAUCUUUUCCUUAGACCAUGAGAUCGUGCAACUCCCGGAUACCGUAGGAGUGCUUUGGGUGUGCCAAACGUCACAACAUAACUGGGUGACUAUAAAGGUGCAUUACGGGUAUCUCCGAAAGUGUCUGUUGGGUUGGCACGGAUCGAGACUGGGAUUUGUCACUCCGUGUGACGGAGAGGUAUCUCUGGGCCCACUCGGUAAUGCAUCAUCAUAAUGAGCUCAAUGUGACUAAGGCGUUAGUCAUGGGAUCAUGCAUUGCGGUACGAGUAAAGAGACUUGCCGGUAACGAGAUUGAACAAGGUAUUGGGAUACCGACGAUCGAAUCUCGGGCAAGUAACAUACCGAUUGACAAAGGGAAUUGCAUACGGAUUGAUUGAAUCCUCGACACCGUGGUUCAUCCGAUGAGAUCAUCGUGGAACGUGUGGGAGCCAACAUGGGUAUCCAGAUCCCGCUGUUGGUUAUUGACCGGAGAGGCGUCUCGGUCAUGUCUGCAUGUCUCGCGAACCCGUAGGGUCUACACACUUAAGGUCCGGUGACGCUAGGGUUGUAGAGAUAUAUGUAUGCGGAAACCCGAAAGUUGUUCGGAGUCCCGGAUGAGAUCCCGGACGUCACGAGAGGUUCCGGAAUGGUCCGGAGGUGAAGAAUUAUAUAUAGGAAGUCCAGUUUCGGCCAUCGAGAAAGUUUCGGGGGUUACCGGUAUUGUACCGGGACCACCGGAAGGGUCCCGGGGGUCCACCGGGUGGGGCCACCUAUCCCGGAGGGCCCCGUGGGCUGAAAGUGGAAGGGAACCAGCCCCUAGUGGGCUGGGCGGCCCCCCAUGGGCCUCCCCCCAUGCGCCUAGGGUUGGGAACCCUAGGGGGGAGCUUCCCCCUUGCCUUGGGGGGCAAGGCAACCCCUUCCCCCCUUGCCCCCCCUUGGAGAUCCCAUCUCCCAGGGCCGGCGCACCCCCCCCAGGGGCCUAUAUAAAGGGGGGGAGGGAGGGCAGAAACCUACAGCCUUGGGCGCCUCCCUCCUCCCCUGCAACACCUCUCUCUCUCUCUCGCAGAAGCUCGGCGAAGCCCUGCCGGAGACCCGCUACAUCCACCACCACGCCGUCGUGCUGUUGGAUCUCCAUCAACCUCUCCUUCCCCCUUGCUGGAUCAAGAAGGAGGAGACGUCGCUGCACCGUACGUGUGUUGAACGCGGAGGUGUCGUCCGUUCGGCACUCGGUCAUCGGUGAUUUGGAUCACGGCGAGUACGACCCCGUCAUCCACGUUCAUUGGAACGCUUCCGCUCGCGAUCUACAAGGGUAUGUAGAUGCACUCCUUUCCCCUCGUUGCUAGUAGACUCCAUAGAUGCAUCUUGGUGAGCGUAGGAAAAUUUUAAAUUAUGCUACGAUUCCCAACAUACCUCUCCCUCCAUUUUCCCAUUCAUACACCGUCCGCGCUAGAACACCCCAUCCCCACACCAGCCUCCGUCCGCCACCCCAUCCAUCGCCGCCGUCCUCCACCACAUCCAUCGCCGCCGUCCUCCACCAUGCUAGAGCGCCUACCAAGACCGCGUCGUCCACUGCUAGAGAUGGACGUUUCUCAUCCACAGCGACGGACCAAUAGCCUUGCAUCGCGUCCUCUCGCUUCAUCGGCGCCGUCGUCCUCUUUGCCGGGGCUGCUCACACGACCUUCUCUUCCAUCGCAGAUCUGCUUCAACGCCACGGACAUCCAUCGCACCCCCGAUGCCUACACGGCGCCGCAAGAGAGGUGGUACUUCAUAUCUCCUCAACUUUUUGAUCUCAACCAGAAAAUAGAUCUUAACUUGGUUACUCUACUUUCUUUUCAGCUCUUGGAAUUUAGUUCUUAGUUCGAAGCAAACAAUGGAUGCUAAAUAUCAUUUCUCCGGUUUGCAGCUUCAAAUCUGCCAUGGCACAGCCAUAAUACGGUUUAAUUGAUCAUGCUUAGGGUUUAAUUGAUCAUGUUGGUUCUGUGGUGGUUUCUUUAAGAGAAAUCGAAGGGGAAACCCUCUUUUGCUAAAAAAAUAUGCUUAGAGUUUCCCCCUUUUAUGAUCACUAUACGAUCAGAAUACGUGCUUCGUGUCAUAAUAACACUGCUCGACCCGAUCAAGCUAAACAAGCUUAGUUGUUCAAAUACGAAUCUGAUAUUAUUAAAACAGAGUUGUUUAAUUGGUCAGCUAAAUGUUCCUAAAUUAGUUUCAAAAAUGCAUGUUCGCCGCUCGGGUGUGUAUCUCUAUAGGGUGCCCACGGUGGGCCGGCCCACCCUGGGAUUUUGGGUCGUCUCAGGCCCCGAUUCCCCUCUGUUCUACUGCGCGCUUCCGAUCUCUACUUGCCCCCAGCCGCCUGCCUCGCCGGCGACUUGUCGUCCCCGGACGGCAUGACUCUAGGAGGAGACGCCGGACUAACAGGAGGCCAGGAGCCGCUCGCCCAACAGCGUCACCGCUGCCCGGGCGCGCCGCCGUGCCUACCUUCCCAGUCCGUUUAGGGCUCAGGCAUGCAGCACCCACCAAGCCAACCCGAUUUAUCCUGAGAUAUGUCCUCAACACUCAGCAGCCACUCCUCAUCACCCAUUUUCUAAUUGAUUCAUUACUCACUAGGCAGGACUGUCAUUAGGGUUUGUUGUGUGCUCAGUGCUACCUACACUUAAUGGUUCAGAUGUAUUUCGGUAAUCUUUAGUACCUCUAAAGUUCACAGGGUUUUCAAAAUUCCGGCCCUCGGAACAGAAACUAGUCAUUUUGGAUUGUUGGUCGUAGUGACAUUGACCCAGAUUACUACUGCAAGCCAAGUUUGUUGACAAUUUUACUUGUCUUUCUUACUCAUUCGAUAUAAUAUCCAAUUAUUCACGUCGAUUAGUUGCAAACAAUAAGUGCUAGACAAACUUCUUCAUUCAGAUUUUGGACGGUCUCUUACUGCAGUUACAAUUCUGCAUACUUGUCCUAGUAAGCUCACAAGUAAAUGAUUGAUUCACUACAUCUAUGUUUGCCUUGUCAUAUUUGUUGUCAAUAUUCUUUUAGGGUGGACCACCCUGUUUCUAAAUACUGGAACCGUAGACAUGAGUGAAUAGUAUUUCUCUAUGUGAUCUCUUCCAUCAUGUGUGGGUAACGAACACUGCAUUGUAUAGAAAGAAAGUGUCAUUUCCAGCUUUUACAUAGGUUUCGAUCUUUUACAUGGAAUACAAUCUGCCUACUUGCUUUGUGUCGCACUACCAACGCUCCACCCUUGAAGCUAAACAUUACGCCACUCAUAAUUGCUUAGUUUAUUUGUUCAAAUACGAAUUUCAUAUGAUUCUAAUGUUCCUACUUCAGUUUUGAAAUGUGUGCCUGCCUGUUAUAGAGACAUAAGGGGUUUGUAUUUCUGUGUGUGGUCUGGUCAGCACGGUUGGGGAGGUGAACUUUGCAUAUGCAGGGGUUUAUUGGGAGACACUCUCCGAGUUGAAUCCGCAAUGCAUUCCAUAGAUAAUCUGACUACUUUUUAUGUUUUCAUGAAUCUCAGAUUCUGAACAGCAUCAUAAUGAUUAUGAGCUUGCGCGCAUGAAAAGAAUAAAGCAGAACAAUGCCAUGGCUGUCAAACUUGGCAUUAAGGGACUGAAAUCAAGUCUGGAUGCAAUGCAAUGCAAACGCUCUCCACCUACAGAUUCAUGCUCAGAAUAUGAUCCUAACAGUGAUUCUGAGCUAGAGGGAGACCUAAGUCAAUGUAGCUCCCUAGUGGAGGAGUCAGAGGAAGAUGCCCUAUCUUAUUCACCCAUCAAGGUACUUGCUCUAACUUUCCAAGGUUACAUUGCUCGCACAUAUCUUGCAACUGAUGCUUUGCAUUGCUUCUACUUUGUUGAACUGCCAUUAGCUUAGUUUCCACAUCGUGUAUGUGAAUACGCCCUGCCUAUCCAUUUUCAGUACAUAUUCCAUCUGUCAUCAUACCAUAUUUAUCCAUUCAAAUGCUGUUCUGGUGUAUCAGACGUUCAAAAGGAAGAGGGCGAUUGCUGAUCGUGGAGGAGCACAACCAAAGUAUUUGGAAAAGGUAGUGGCACCUGAUAAAUCAAAUAGCCCAUUAGGUGUAGUUGCAAUAUCACCUGACCCACAAAAUACCCCAACUCUAGCAGACUCUAGCCCUACUACACUGGUCAUUUCUGAUGCCCCAACUCAGCAGACCCCAACUGCAGCAAACAGUAUGAUUAUGCCAGUUGACAUAGCACCAGCUGUACGACGCAAAACCCCCAUUCCAGCAAAGAGUACACCAAAUCCAGUUGACAAAUCCCUUUUCGAACCAGAGAGAGCCCCAAUUGCAGCAAAUAGGACCCAUGUUCCAUUUCUUCCCAGUUUAGAAGACGAAGCUUAUGUUGUUGUCAGGAACUUUGUGCGCAUCUUUCCUUCAUGGAAAGAUUAUACCGCAGACACAGAACAAUUUCCAGUCUUCCUCCGCAACUUACGCGUAAGUAAUGUACUAAUGUUAUUCAUGGUCAUUACUGCAUAUGUUUCUGCUGACAGAAGACACACGAUUUCAUUCUUUCAAAUAGGCGAGGAGCAAACUGGAUUGUGAUGACGAGCAAGGGUUGGUUGCGCUUUUCAAGCACUCGUUGAUGAAGUAUCAUUCCUACCUGAGGCAAGCGCACUUCGAUGGCAAGCCUCUGAACGAAAUUUCUGUAAAGUCUCCGGUGCUACAUUUAUCCGACGGUGACUGGAAUAAUCUUGUUACACAUUGGUCUCGGCUGCAGCGUAAGGUACUGUCUAUGAUAUCACAUCACAAUUUGAACUACAUUUCUGCAUUUGCCUUAAUGUCUCACUUUUACGAAAACUGUUAGCAGAAGAACAUUCGUUCUCAAGGGACCACAGAAUCUCGCAACUAUACUGCACACUGCAUUGCUCUUGUGAGUACCUCUUGCCCUGUAUGACCAUACUUACUUUCAUAGCUGUUUGAUUAUGUAGCAUCACUGCACAUGUUAGCCUCGUAAUCGUCCAUUUGGUGGACAUUAUAAGAUCCGUAUGGACUCUUACAUAAAUUUAGAAUCAACCCAAUGCUUUUGAAGAGGUUUACCUCUGCAGUCCUCUUGUAAGGACUGAUUGUGCUCUAUCACUGUACUUACAUUAACAGCUACUCCCUCCGUCCCAUAAUAUAAGAACGUUUUGUACAGUACACCAGUGUUCAAAACACUCUUGUAUUAUGGGAAGAGGGAUUGGUUCAUUUUGUAGCAUUCUGCAUCUUAUCUCCCUCGCCCACCAUUUACUAAAAAAGAUCAGAUAUAUAUUUAAUCUUACCAACAAGUAGAAUACACAGACAAUGCCAGUGCAGAAGUGUAGCCCAUUGCUCUUGUCAGUACAUUUUGUCCUGUAACGCUUGUACUUCCAGGGAUUGGUAGUUGAUUAUGUAGCAUCAAUCUGCAUCUUAUCUUCAUUAUCCUCUAUCCCUUCCAGUAUUAUCAUAUCUAUCAUUACUCUCUACAAAAUGUAGAGUACAGGCAAUGCUUAUGAAGAAGAUUCUGUGCUGAAAUUCUUGAGUUAUCCUUCCCUUGACAUGGAGAAGGGCAUUAUAAAGCCGGUGUUAACUGUUAAUGUAAGUUAGUCCUUCUAAAGCCUUUAUCCUCAACUGUUGUUUAAUUUGCUCAUACUCCCUAUCGUUUACUGCUGUUUAGUUUGCUGUUUCUACCAAAAUGCAUGUUCGUAAGAAUCGUAAGUUCUAAGUUUUACUUGUAAAACCAAAUUCCUUAUUCAUACCAUGCACAUUACUUAAUACUCCCUAUAUGUAUGCUUGUUUUUGUGGAUCUAUAAUCCAGUGUGUGGUGGAGCAGCCCAUGUUUGCACCUUGUCAUCUCCUGUUUUUAUCUUACUGAUGUGGCUGAUGAUAUGAACAACAUGCCAUGCACAUUAUCCAAAAUAGAUACAAUGAUUUUCUUUGCCCUUCAUCUAUGCUUGUUAUCUUGACAUGGUAAUCCAGUAGUGUGGUGAAGCUCCCCGCAUUAUGAACAAUGCCAAAUUAUGCUAUUGAUAUUUUGAACUUACUCUUUAUUUUCUAAUUUGAAAUUGGAUAGAAUUGACAGAACAGUUAUCAUCUUUGUUUAUACACGUGCAAACCUGUCAUCUCUCUGCUUUGUUUCAGGGUGAUAUGCCUGAUGGCAUGCACAAUUCUGCUGAAGGCUGUGAGACAAACCCAACAUAUAUUGCGGCAAAGAAGGCAAAACAUCUUGAAGAUAGGGAGACAACCCCAAAGUCUUGUCUUGAUGCAGUGUUCAAGUUACUUGAGACUAAUAGUCAGACAAGCUCACCGAAUUUGUUGUCUGAAUCAGUUCGUCUUCUUCAGUCCCAAGUUCUAGCAGAAAGGCAUUCUGCAACUCAACUUCGACUUGAAGUCCUAUCUCUAAGAAAGAUUGUGGAGAACACCAAUGAGAACCUCAUCGCUAAACAGCUACACCUGGAAGCUAUGACCGACAUGCUAGGCCGGUCUCACAGCCUUGCUCAGCAGCUUGCGCAGCAAUUCCCCCGCAAGGCUAACCUUUCUUCAACUGUCUUGGAAGUGGUCUCGGUUCAGUAUUAUUUUGUUACGCUGCAAUGGUGCCCAGUUUUUGUAAUCUGCUUCUUCGUUGCGCUUUAUGAUCACUGGUGGCGAACUUCGAUGCCCAGUGGAUGUAAUAUACCUAAAAUCCUUUAUUGUAUAGUGUAGGUUUAUUCUUAGUUACUAUGCCGUAAUUUCUUUAUUGUAUAGAGUAGGUUUGUUCUUAAUUCCUAUUAGUUACUGCCAUCAUUCGCUAUCUGAAAAGAAAUCAGAUGUAGUCGACCGGACCGAAACAUUCGACUCUAGUGGGCCAGGUUUUUAGCGGGACACAAUUGGGCCGGCCUGUGUCUUUCUUGGGCCCGAAUGAUUGGGGCCUUCACACAUUGCGCGAGGCCAAAACUUACACCGGCCUAUAUUUUAGUUGGGCCUUUUGUCGACCCAGUGCUUAGUUUGGCCCAGGUAGCGUUGGGCCAUUAACAGGCUAAAUAUUGUACUGGCCUGUUACGGCCGAGAUGAAACCACGGGCCUUUAGCAGGCCAAAAUGCAUGUUGGGCCUCAAUUUUCACUAGUCGUCGAAGGGCCUUCAGCAGGCCGAAAUGUAGACCAGGCCGUUUUGGGCCCAGUUAGCUCACGGGCCGUUACCAGGCCGAAACAUAUCUCGGGCCUUAGUUGGCCCAUUGAUAUCAUGGGCCUUUAAGAGGCCGAAAGCUUAGCACAGGCAUCAACGGGCCGAAUUACGCGACAGGCCUUUAAUAGGCCCAAAGUCACGUUGGGCUUAACUGUUGCCACCUUUAGCACGGGCCGUUAGUGGGCCCGAUGUCCCGUCGGACCAUAUAUGGCCCAUGGGCAGCACGGGCCAUUCCUAGGCCGAAAGUCACACCGGGCUGAAAUGGGCCCAUGUCUACAUCAGGCCUCUAACAGGCCGAAAGUCACUAGGCUGUAGUUGGGCCCAAAUAUUCGGCGAACAAUUAACGGGCCAGAUCUGGCUUCGGGCCGCAAAUGGGCCCAAAUAUUGGGCGAACAAUUAACGGGACAGAUCUGGCUUCAUGCCGUAAAUGGGCCCAAAUAUUGGGCGAACAAUUAACGGGCUAGAUCUGGCUUCGGGUCGUAAAUGGGCCUUUAUUAAGUAGGCCGUUAUUGGGCUGGCCCACUAGUACCUGAUUAAGUUCUACGGGCCUUUGACUGGGCCGACCUUUUUAACCUAUAUGGGGCUCUGUUGGGCCCAGCCACGUGUCGACGUAUCAUAGGCAUGUCUCCUCCAAUGGACGGACGACAUCUGGCCCACUAACGAGCUGACAGGUGUUCCCUUCGGCCAAUCAGAAUUUUACACGUGGAAAUUUCCCAUUGGUCAGGGUUGUUAACGGGUUAUCGGAUCCAAAAUCCGAUCUGAGAGCUUAAUGGCGUUCCAUUACGGUGGAUGCCACGUGUCGGUCACCCUUGAUGAAAGCACUUCUGUGACGCGCGAUUUAUCAUCAUGGAAGUGGACACUUCCGUGAUGAUAAUUUUGGUAAUGUCAUGGAACACUUCUACGACAGCACAGGUAUGACUAUCUUGAUUCUGUCAUAAAAUCGUCAUGGAUGUACAUGCAUGACAAAAAACACGACCUACUGUGACAAACACGUAUCAUCACGGAAGUGUAUUUUUUUUGUAGUGAACGUAAUGGUGUGUCUGAACGUCGUAACUGUACUUUAUUAGAUAUGGUGCGAUCUAUGAAGUUUCUUACCGAUUUACCACUACCGUUUUGGGGUUAUGCAUUAGAGACAGUUGCAUUCACGUUAAAUAGGGCACCAUCUAAAUCUGUUGAGACGACACCGUAUGAACUAUGGUUUGGCAAGAAACCUAAGCUGUCGUUUCUUAAAGUUUGGGGUUGCGAUGCUUAUGUGAAAAAGCUUCAGCCUGGUAAGCUCGAACCCAGAUCGGAGAAGUGCGUCUUCAUAGGAUACCCAAAAGAAACUAUUGGGUACACCUUCUAUCACAGAUCCGAAGGCAAGACCUUUGUUGCUAAGAAUGGAUCCUUUCUAGAGAAGGAGUUUCUCUUGAAAGAAGUGAGUGGGAGGAAAGUAGAACUUGAUGAGGUAAUUGUACCUUCUCUCGAAUUGGAAAGUAGCUCAUCACAGAAAACCGUUCCCAUGAUGCCUACACCAACAAGAGAGGAAGCUAAUAAUAAUGAUCAUGCUUCAGAUCAAGUUACUACCGAACCUCGUAGGUCAACCAGAGCAUGUUCCGCAUGAGAGUGGUACGGUAAUCCUGUUCUGAAAGUCAUGUUACUAGACCAUGAUGAACCUACGAACUAUGAGGAAGCGAUGAUGAGCCUAGAUCCUGCAAAAUGGCUUGAGGCCAUGAAAUCUGAGAUAGGAUCCAUGUAUGAGAACAAAGUAUGGACUUUGGUUGACUUGCCCGAUGAUCGGCAAGCCAUAGAGAAUAAAUGGAUCUUCAAGAGGAAGACGGACGCUGAUAGUAGUGUUACUAUCUACAAAGCUAGACUUGUCGAAAAGGUUUUUGAGAAGUUCAAGGUGUUGACUAUGAUGAGAUUUUCUCACUCGUAGCGAUGCUUAAGUCUAUCUGAAUCAUGUUAGCAAUUGCCACAUUUUAUGAAAUCUGGCAAAUGGAUGUCAAAACUGCAUUCCUUAAUGGAUUUCUUAAAGAAGAGUUGUAUAUGAUGCAACCAGAAGGUUGGGUCAAUCCUAUAGGUGCUAACAAAGUGUGCAAACUCCAGUGAUCCAUCUAUGGACUGGUGCAAGCAUCUCGGAGUUGGAAUAUACACUUUGAUAAGGUGAUCAAAGCAUAUGGUUUUAUACAGACUUGUGGUGAAGCCUGUAUUUACAAGAAAGUGAGUGGGAGCACUACAGCCUUUCUGAAAAGUAUAUAUGUGAAUGACAUAUUGUUGAUCGUAAAUGAUGUAGAAUUUUCUGGAAAGCAUAAAGGAGUGUUUGAAAGGAGUUUUUCAAAGAAAGAACUCGGUGAAGCUGCUUACAUAUUGGGCAUCAAGAUCUAUAGAGAUAGAUUAAUGUUGGGGAACGUAGCAAUAAUUCAAAUUUUUCUACGCAUCACCAAGAACAAUCUAUGGAGUCUUCUAGCAACGAGAGGGAAAAGAGUGCAUCUACAUACCCUUGUAGAUCGCGAGCGGAAGCGUUCAAGUGAAUGGGGUUGAUGGAGUCGUACUCGUCGUGAUCCAAAUCACCGGUGACCGAGCGCCGAACGGACGGCACCUCCGCGUUCAACACACGUACGGUUGGGAAGACGUCUCCUCCUUCUUGAUCCAGCAAGGGGAGGGAGUGGUUGAUGGAGAUCCAGCAGCACGACGGCGUGGUGGUGGAAGCAGCGGGGAUCUCGGCAGGGCUUCGCCAAGCUCAGCGAGAGGGAGAGGUGUCACGGGAGGGAGAGGGAGGCGCCAGGGGCUUGGGGUGCUGCUCCCAUGCGCCUCCCCACUAUAUAUAGGGGUGGAGGGGGCUGAUUUCUUGCCCUCCAAGUCCAUUGGGGCGUUGGCAAAGGUGGGGGAAAGAAAUCCCAUCAUUUCCCUUCCCCACCGAUUGUUAUUCCCCUUUUUUAGGGAUCUUGAUCUUAUCCCUUCGGGAUAUGAUCUUAUUCCUUCUAAGGUGGGAUCUUGGUGCACCAUGACUAGGGGUGAGGGGCCUUGCCCCCACUACCCACGUUCAUGUGGGUCCCCCCAUGCAGGUGGGCCCCACUUCGGAACCUUCUAGAACCUUCCCGGUACAAUACCGAAAAAUCCCGAACAUUUUCCAGUGGCCAAAAUAGGACUUCCCAUAUAUAAAUCUUUACCUCCGGACCAUUCCGGAACUCCUCAUGACGUCCGGAAUCUCAUCCGGGACUCCGAACAACUUUCGAUUAACCACAUACUAAUAUCUCUACAACUCUAGCGUCACCGAACCUUAAGUGUGUAGACCCUACGGGUUCGGGAGACAAGUAGACAUGACUGAGACAUUUCUCCGGUCAAUAACCAACAGCGGGAUCUGGAUACCCAUGUUGGCUCCCACAUGCUCCACGAUGAUCUCAUCGGAUGAACCACGAUGUCGAGGAUUCAAUCAAUCCCGUAUACAAUUCCCUUUGUCAAUCGGUACAUUACUUGCCCGAGAUUCGAUCGUCGGUAUCCCAAUACCUUGUUCAAUCUCGUUACCGGCAAGUCACUUUACUCGUACCGUAAUUCAUGAUCCCAUGACCAAACACUUGGUCACAUUGAGCUCAUUAUGAUGAUGCAUUACCGAGUGGGCCCAGAGAUACCUCUCCGUCAUACGGAGUGACAAAUCCCAGUCUCGAUUCGUGCCAACCCAACAGACACUUUCGGAGAUACCCGUAGUGCACUUUUAUAGCCACCCAGUUACGUUGUGACGUUUGGCACACCCAAAGCACUCCUAUGGUAUCCGGGAGUUGCACAAUCUCAUGGUCUAAGGAAAUGAUACUUGACAUUUGGAAAACCUCUAGCAAACGAACUACACGAUCUUGUGCUAUGCUUAGGAUUGGGUCUUGUCCAUCACAUCAUUCUCCUAAUGAUGUGAUCCCGUUAUCAAUGACAUCCAAUGUCCAUAGUCAGGAAACCAUGACUAUCUGUUGAUCAACGAGCUAGUCAAAUAGAGGCUCACUAGGGACAUGUUGUGGUCUAUGUAUUCACACAUGUAUUACGGUUUCUAGUUAAUACAAUUAUAGCAUGAACAACAGACAAUUAUCAUGAGCAAGGAAAUACAAUAAUAACCAUUUUAUUAUUGCCUCUAGGGCAUAUUUCCAACAGUCUCCCACUUGCACUAGAGUCUAUAAUCUAGUUCACAUCACCAUGUGAUUAACACUCAAAGUUCACAUCGCCAUGUGACUAAUACCCAAGAGUUUACUAGAGUCAAUAAUCUAGUCCACAUCACCAUGUGAUUAACACUCAAUGAGUUCUAGGGUUUGAUCAUGUUAUGCUUUCGAGAGAGGUUUUAGUCAACGGGUCUGCAACAUUCAGAUCCGUGUGUGCUUUACAAAUCUCUAUGUCAUCUUGUAGAUGUAGCUACCACGCGCUACUUGGAGCUAUUCCAAAUAACUGCUCUACUAUACAAAUCCGGUUUACUACUCAGAGUCAUCCGGAUUAGUGUCAAAGUUCGCAUCGACGUAACCCUUUACGACGAGCUCUUUUACCACCUCCAUAAUCGAGAAAAUUCCUUAGUCCACUAGAUACUAAGGAUAAGUUCGACCGCUGUCAUGUGAUCCAUUCCUGGAUCACUCUUGUACCCCUUGACUAAUUCAUGGCAAGGCACACUUCAGGUGCGGUACACAGCAUAGCAUACUGUAGAGCCUACGUCUAAAGCAUAGGGGACGACCUUCGUCCUUGCUCUCUCUUCUGCCGUGGUCAGGUCUUGAGUCUCACUCAAUACUCACACCUUGUAACACAGCCAGGAACUCCUUAUUUGCUGAUCUAUUUUGAACUCCUUCAAAAUCCUGUCACGGUAUGCAUUCAUUUGAAAGUACUAUUAAGCGUUUUUAUCUAUCCUUAUAGAUCUUGAUGCUCAAUGUUCAAGUAGCUUAAUCCAGGUUUUCCAUUGAAAAACACUUUUCAAAUAACCCUGGAUGCUUUCCAGAAAUUCUGCAUCAUUUCCGAUCAACAAUAUGUCAACAACAUAUACUCAUCAGAAAUUCUAUAGUGCUCCCACUCACUUCUUUGGAAAUACAAGUUUCUCAUAAACUUUGUAAAAACCCAAAAUCUUUGAUCAUCUCAUCAAAACGUACAUUCCAACUCCGAGAUGCGUACUCCAAUCAUUAGAAGGAUUGCUGGAGCUUUGCAUACUUGUUAGCAUCUUUCAGGAUUGACAAAACCUUCUGGUUGUAUCACAUACAACCUUUCCUCAAGAAAAUCGUCGAGGAAACAAUGUUUUGACAUCCUAUCUGCAAGAUUUCAUAAAUAAUGCAGUAACUGCUAAAUAUAAUUCCAACAGACUCUUAGCAUCGGUACGAGUGAGAAAGUCUCAUCGCAGUCAACUCCUUGAACUUGCCGGAAAACAUCUUAACGACAAGUCGAGCUUUCUUAAUGGUGACACUUACCAUCAUUGUCUGUCUUCCUUUUAAAAUCCAUCUGCACCCAACAGCCUUACGACCAUCAAGUAGUUCUUCCAAAGUCUACACUUUGUUUUUAUACAUGGAUCCUCUCUCGGAUUUUAUGGCCUCGAGCCAUUCGUCGGAAUCCAGGCCCACCAUCGCUUCUCCACGGCUCAUAGGUUCAUCGUUGUCCAACAACAUGACUUCCAAGACAGGAUUACGUACCACUCUGACGUAGUACGCAUCCUUGUCGUCCUAUGAGGUUUGGUAGUGACUUGAUCUGAAGUUUCAUGAUCACCACCAUAAGCUUCCACUUCAAUUGGUGUAGGUGCCACAGGAACAACUUCCUGUGCCCUGCUACACAUUAGUUGAAGUGACGGUUCAAUGACCUCAUCAAGUCUCCACCAUCCUCCCACUCAAUUCUUUCGAGAGAAACUUCUCCUCGAGAAAGGACCCGUUUCUAGAAACAAUCACUUUUGCUUCCAGAUCUGAAAUAGGACGUAUACCCAACUGUUUUGGGUAUUCUAAGAAGAUGCAUUUAUCCGCUUUGGGUUCGAGCUUAUUAGCCUGAAACAUUUCCACAUAAGUGUCACAGCCCCAAACUUUUAAGAAACAACAGCUUAGGUUUCUCUAAACCAUAGUUCAUACGGUGUCGUCUCAACGGAAUUGCGUGGUGCCCUAUUUAAAGUGAAUGCGGUUGUCUCUAAUGCCUAACCCAUAAACGAUUGUGGUAAUUCGAUAAGAGACAUCAUGGUAUGCACCAUAUCCAAUAGGGUGCAGCUAUGAUGUUCGGACACACCAUCACACUAUGGUGUUCCAGGCGGUAUUAAUUGUGAAACACUUUCCACAAUGUCUUAAUUGUGUACCAAACUCGUAACUCAGAUAUUCAUCUCUAUGAUCAUAUCAUAGACAUUUUAUCCUCUUGUCACGACGAUCUUCAACUUCACUCUGAAAUCACUUGAACCUUUCAAUAAUUCAGACUUGUGUUUCAUCAAGUAAAUACACUCAGCAUCUACUCAAAUCAUCUGUGAAGUAAGAACAUAACGAUAUUCACUGCAUGCCUCAGCACUCAUUGGACUGCACACAUCAAAAUUUAUUACUUCCAACAAGUUGCUUUCUUGUUCCAUCUUACUGAAAACGAGGCCUUUCAGUCAUCUUGCCCAUGUGGUAUGAUUUGCAUGUCUCAAGUGAUUCAAAAUCAAGUGAGUCCAAACGAUCCAUCUGCAUGGAGUUUCUUCAUGCAUAUAUACCAAUAGACAUGGUUCGCAUGUCUCAAUCUUUUCAAAAACGAGUGAGUCCAAAGAUCCAUCUACAUGGAGCUUCUUCAUGCGUUCUAUACCAAUAUGACUCAAAUGGCAGUGCCACAAGUAUGUGGUACUAUCAUUACAAUUUUAUAUCUUUUGGCACGAACAUGUGUAUCACUACGAUCGAGAUUCAAUAAACCAUUUAUUUUAGGUGCAAGACCAUUGAAGGUAUUAUUCAAAUAAAAAGAGUAACCAUUAUUCUUCUUAAAUGAACAUCAUAAUCCAAUCAUGUCUAUGCUCAACGUAAACACCAAAUAACAAUUAUUUAGGUUUAACACCAAUCUCGAUGGUAGAGGGAGCAUGCGAUGCUUGAUCACAUCAACCUUGGAAACACUUCCAACACAUAUCGUCAUCUCACUUUUAGCUAGUCUCCGUUUAUUCCGCAGCUUUUAUUUCGAGUUACUAACACUUAGCAACUGAACCGGUAUCUAAUACCCUGGUGCUACUAGGAGUACUAGUAAAGUACACAUUAAUAUAAUGUAUAUCCAAUAUACUUCUGUCGACCUUACCAGCCUUCUCAUCUACGAAGUAUCUAGGGCAGUUCUGCUUCAGUGACCGUUCCCCUCAUCUCAGAAGCACUUAGUCUCGGGUUUGGGUUCAACCUUGGCUUUCUUCACUAGAGCUGCAACUGAUUUGCCGUUUCACGAAGUAUCCCUUGUUGCCCGUGCCCUUCUUGAAACUAGUGGUUUUACUAACCAUCAACAAUUGAAGCUCCUACUUGAUUUCUACUUUCGUGGUGUCAAACAUCGCGAAUAGCUCAAAGGUUCAUCAUAUCUAUCCCAGAUUUGUUAUAGUUCAUCACGAAGUUCUAGUAGCUUGAUGGCAGUGACUUUGGAGAACCAUCACUAUCUCAUCUGGAAGAUUAACUCCCACUCGAUUCAAGCAAUUGUAGUACUCAGACAAUCUGAGCACAUGCUCAACGAUUGAGCUUUUCUCCCUUAGUUUGCAGGCUUAAGAAACUUGUCAAAGGUCUCAUACCUCUUGACGUGGGCACUAGUCUGAAAUCCCAAUUUCAGUCUUUGGAACAUCUCAUAUGUUCUGCGACGUUUCAAAACCGUCUUUGGUGCCACAAUUUUAAACCGUUAGCAUCACACACUGAACUAUCACGUAGUCAUCAAAACGUGUAUGUCAGAUGUUUCGCAACAUCUACAGACGACGCUCGAGGUUCAGCACACCGAGCGGUGCAUUAAGGACAUAAGCCUUUUGGGUAGCAAUGAGGACAAUCCUCAGUUUACGGACCCAGUCCGCAUAAUUGCUACUAUCAACUUUCAACUAAAUUUUCUCUAGGAACAUAUCUUAGUAGAACUAAAGCGUAAGCUACGACAUAAUUUGCAAAGAGCUUUUGACUAUGUUCAUGAUAAUUAAGUUCAUCUAAUCAAAUUAUUUAAUGAACUCCCACUCAGAUAGACAUCCCUCUAGUCAUCUAAGUGAUACAUGAUCCGAGUCAACUAGGCCGUGUCCGAUCAUCACGUGAGACGGACUAGUCAUCAUCGGUGAACAUCUCCAUGUUGAUCGUAUCUACUAUACGACUCAUGUUCGACCUUUCGGUCUCUUGUGUUCCGAGGCCAUGUCUGUACAUGCUAGGCUCGUCAAGUCAACCUAAGUGUUUCGCAUGUGUAAAUCUGGCUUACACCCGUUGUAUGCGAACGUUAGAAUCUAUCACACCCGAUCAUCACGUGGUGCUUCGAAACAACGAACCUUCGCAACGGUGCACAGUUAGGGGGAACACAUCUCUUGAAAUUUUAGUGAGGGGUCAUCUUAUUUAUGCUACCGUCAUUCUAAACAAAUAAGAUGUAAACAUGACAAACAUCACAUGCAAAUCAUAAAGUGACAUGAUAUGGCCAAUAUCAUCUUGCGCCUUUGAUCUCCAUCUUCGAGGCGCGGCAUGAUCACCUUCGUCACCGGCAUGACACCAUGAUCUCCAUCAUCGUGUCUUCAUGAAGUUGUCUCGCCAACUAUUACUUCUACUACUAUGGCUAACGGUUAGCAAUAAAGUAAAGUAAUUACAUGGCGGUUUUCAUUGACACGCAGGUCAUACAAUAAAUUAAGACAACUCCUAUGGCUCCUGCCGGUUGUCAUACUCAUCGACAUACAAGUCGUGAUUCCUAUUACAACAACAUGAUCAAUCUCAUACAUCACAUAUAUAUAAUUCAUCACAUCCUUUUGGCCAUAUCACAUCACAUAGCAUACCCUGCAAAAACAAGUUAAACGUCCUCUAAUUGUUGUUGCAUGUUUUACGUGGCUGCUAUGGGUUUCUAGCAAGAACGUUUCUUACCUACGCAAAAGCCACAACGGUGAUAUGCCAAUUGCUAUUUACCCUUCAUAAGGACCCUCUUCAUCGAAUCCGAUCCGACUAAAGUGGGAGAGACAGACACCCGCUAGCCACCUUAUGCAUCAAGUGCAUGUCAGUCGGUGGAACCUGUCUCACGUAAGAGUACGUGUAAGGUCGGUCCAGGCCGCUUCAUCCCACAAUGUCGCCGAAUCAAGAUAAGACUAGUAACGGCAAGCAAAUUGAACAAAUCAUCGCCCACAACUACUUUGUGUUCUACUCGUGCAUAGAAUCUACGCAUAGACCUGGCUCAUGAUGCCACUGUUGGGGAACGUAGCAAUAAUUCAAAUUUUUCUACGCAUCACCAAGAAAAAUCUAUGGAGUCUUCUAGCAAUGAGAGGGAAAAGAGUGCAUCUAGAUACCCUUGUAGAUCGCGAGCGGAAGCGUUCAAGUGAACGGGGUUGAUGGAGUCGUACUCAUCGUGAUCCAAAUCACCGAUGACCGAGCGCCGAACGGACGGCACCUCCGCAUUCAACACGCGUACGGUUGGGAAGACGUCUCCUCCUUCUUGAUCCAGCAAGGGGAGGGAGAGGUUGAUGGAGAUCCAGCAGCACGACCGCGUGGUGGUGGAAGCAGCGGGGAUCUCGGCAGGGCUUCGCCAAGCUCAGCGAGAGGGAGAGGUGUCACGGGAGGGAGAGGGAGGCGCCAGGGGCUUGGGGUGCUGCUCCCAUGCACCUCCCCACUAUAUAUAGGGGUGGAGGGGGCUGGUUUCUUGCCCUCCAAGUCCAUUGGGGCAUUGGCAAAGGUGGGGGAAGGAAAUCCCAUCAUUUCCCUUCCCCACCGAUUGUUAUCCCCCCUUUUUAGGGAUCUUGAUCUUAUCCCUUCGGGAUAUGAUCUUAUUCCUUCUAAGGUGGGAUCUUGGUGCGCCUUGACCAGGGGUGUGGGGCCUUGCCCCCACCACCCACGUUCAUGUGGGUCCCCCAUGCAGGUGGGCCCCACUUCGGAACCUUCUAGAACCUUCCCGGUACAAUACCGAAAAAUCCCGAACAUUUUCCGUUGGCCAAAAUAGGACUUCCCAUAUAUAAAUCUUUACCUCCGGACCAUUCCAGAACUCCUCGUGGCGUCCGGGAUCUCAUCCGGGACUCCGAACAACUUUCGGUUAACCGUAUACUAAUAUCUCUACAACUCUAGCGUCACCGAACCUUAAGUGUGUAGACCCUACGGGUUCGGGAGACAUGUAGACAUGACCGAAACAUUUCUCCGGUCAAUAACCAACAGCGGGAUCUGGAUACCCAUGUUGGCUCCCACAUGCUCCACGAUGAUCUCAUCGGAUGAACCACGAUGUCGAGGAUUCAAUCAAUCCCGUAUACAAUUCCCUUUGUCAAUCAGUACGUUACUUGCCCGAGAUUCGAUCGUCGGUAUCCCAAUAUCUUGUUCAAUCUCGUUACCGGCAAGUCACUUUACUCGUACCGUAAUGCAUGAUCCCGUGACCAAACACUUGGUCACAUUGAGCUCAUUAUGAUGAUGCAUUACCGAGUGGGCCCAGAGAUACCUCUCCGCCAUACAGAGUGACAAAUCCCAGUCUCGAUUCGGGCCAACCCAACAGACACUUUCGGAGAUACCCGUAGUGCACCUUUAUAGCCACCCAGUUACGUUGUGACGUUUGGCACACCCAAAGCACUCCUAUGGUAUCCGGGAGUUGCACAAUCUCAUGGUCUAAGGAAAUGAUACUUGACAUUUGGAAAAGCUCUAGCAAACGAACUACACGAUCUUGUGCUAUGCUUAGGAUUGGGUCUUGUCCAUCACAUCAUUCUCCUAAUGAUGUGAUCCCGUUAUCAAUGACAUCCAAUGUCCAUAGUCAGGAAACCAUGACUAUCUGUUGAUCAACGAGCUAGUCAACUAGACGCUCACUAGUGACAUGUUGUGGUCUAUGUAUUCACACAUGUAUUACGGUUUCCAGUUAAUAAAAUUAUAGCAUGAACAACAGACAAUUAUCAUGAACAAGGAAAUACAAUAAUAACCAUUUUAUUAUUGCCUCUAGGGCAUAUUUCCAACAAUCAAGACGCUUGAUAAGACUUUCGAUGAGUACAUACCUUGAAAAGAUUUUGAAGAAGUUCGAAAUGGAUCAGUCAAAGAAGGAGUUCUUGCCUGAGUUGUAAGGUAUGAAGUUGAUUAAGACUCAAAACCCGACCAUGGCAGAAUAUAGAGAGAGAAUGAAAGUCAUUCCCUAUGCCUCAGCCAUAGGUUCUAUAAAGUAUGCCACACUGUAUACCAGACCUAUUGUGUACCUUGCCAUGAGUUUGGCAAAGGGGUACAAUAGUGGUCCAGGAGUAGAUCACUGGACAGCGGUCAAAAUUAUCCUUAGAAACUAAGGAGAUAUUUCUCGGUUAUGGAGGUGAUAAAGAGUUCGCCGUAAAGACUUACGUCGAUGCAAGCUUUGACACCGAUCUGGAUGACUCUGAGUCUCAAUCUGGAUACAUAUUGAAAGUGGGAGCAAUUAGCUAGAGUAGCUCUGUGCAGAGCAUUGUAGACAUAGAAAUUUGCAAAAUACAUAUGGAUCUGAAUGUGGCAGACCUGUUGACUAAACUUCUCUCACAAGCAAAACAUGAUCACACCUUAGUACUCUUUGGGUGUUAAUCACAUAGCGAUGUGAACUAAAUUAUUGACUCUAAUAAACCCUUUGGGUGUUGAUCACAUGGAGAUGUGAACUAUGGGUGUUAAUCACAUAAAGAUGUGAACUAUUAGUGUUAAAUCACAUGGCGAUGUGAACUAGAUUAUUUACUCUAGUGCAAGUGGGAGACUUAAGGAAAUAUGCCCUAGAGGCAAUAAUAAAGUUGUUAUUUUAUAUUUCCUUAUAUCAUGAUAGAUGUUUAUUAUUCAUGCUAGAAUUGUAUUAACCGGAAACUUGAUACAUGUGUGGAUACAUAGACAAAACACAGUGUCCCUAGUAAGCCUCUACUAGACUAGCUUGUUAAUCAAAGAUGGUUUAGUUUCCUAACCAUAGACAUGUGUUGUCAUUUGAUGAACGGCAUCACAUCAUUAGGAGAAUGAUGUGAUGGACAAGACCCAUCCAAGCUUAGCAUAAUGAUCGUUAAGUUUUAUUGCUAUUGCUUUCUUCAUGACUUAUCCAUAUUCCUUUGACUAUGAGAUUAUGCAACUCCCGGAUACUCGAGGAAUACCUUGUGUGCUAUCAAACAUCACAAUGUAACUGGGUGAUUAUAAAGAUCCUCCACAGGUAUCUCCGAAGGUAUUUGUUGGUUUGGCAUAGAUCGAGAUUAGGAUUUGUCACUCCGAGUAUCGGAGAGGUAUCUCUGGGCCCUCUCGGUAAUGCACAUCAUAAUAAUCCUUGCAAGCAAUGUAACUAAUGAGUUAGUUACGGCAUGAUGCAUUACGGAACUAGUAAAUAGACUUGCCGGUAACGAGAUUGAACUAGGUAUGAAGAUACCGACGACCGAAUCUCAGGCAAAUAACAUACCGAUGACAAAGGGAAUAACGUAUGUUGUCAUAACAGUUCGACCGAUAAAGAUCUUCGUAGAAUAUGUGGGAGCCAAUAUGAGCAUCCAGGUUCCUCUAUUGGUUAUUGACCAGAGAGGUGUCUUGGUCAUGUCUACAUAGUUCUUGAACCCGUAGGGUCCGCACGCUUAACGUUCGAUGACGAUUUGUAUUAUAUGAGUUAUGUGAUUUGGUGACCGAAUGUUGUUCGGAGUCCCGGAUGAGAUCACAUACAUGACAAGGAGUCUCGAAAUGGUCGAGAGGUAAAGAUUGAUAUAUUGGACGAUGGUAUUCGGACACCAGAAUAGUUUCGGAGUGGUUCGGAUAUUUUUCGGAGUACCGAGGGGUUACCGGACCCCCCCCCGGGAAGUUAAUGGUCUACAUGGGCCAUAGGGGGAGAGAGGGGAGCCCGCGAGGGGUGCCCCCCCAUGGGAGUCUGAAUUGGACAAGGGGGAGGGGGCACGGCCCCCUUUCCUUCUCCCUCUCCCUCUCCCUCUCCUUGCCUUUCCCCCUCCGAAAGAAAGGAAAGGGGGGACCGACUAGGACUAGGAGUCCUAGUCGGUUUCCCUCCCCAUGGCGCGCCUCCCAUGGCCGGCCUCCUCCCUCUCCUCCUUUAUAUACGGGGGCAGGGGCACCCCAUAACACAUCAAUUGUUCUCUUAGCCGUGUGCGGUGCCCCCUUCACAUUUUACUCCUCCGGUCAUAGCGUCGUAGUGCUUAGGCGAAGCCCUGCGCGGAUCACAUCACCAUCACCAUCACCACACCGUCGUGCUGAUGAAACUCUCCCUCGACACUUUGCUGGAUCAAGAGUUCAAGGGACGUCAUCGAGCUGAACGUGUGCUGAACUCGGAGGUGCCGUACGUUCGUACUUGAUCGGUUGGAUCGCGAAGACGUUCGACUACAUCAACCACAUUAAACUAAUGCUUCCGCUUUCGGUCUACGAGGGUACGUGGACACACUCUUCCCCUCUCGUUUCUAUGCAUCUCCUAGAUAGAUCUUGCGUGAUUGUAGGAAAUUUUUUGAAAUUGCAUGCUAUGUUCCCCAACAUUAAGUUGAUGGAGAAACGGAGUAAUGCAAUAAGGACGAUGACAUGAUGUAGACAAGAUCUAUUCAUGUAGGAAUAGACCCCAUCUUGUUAUCCUUAAUAGCAACGAUACGUCGUGUCAUUUCCCCUUCUGUCACUGGGAUUGAGCAUCGUAAGAUCGAAUCCAUCACAAAGCACCUCUUCCCAUGGCAAGAAAAGUCGAUCUAGUCGGCCUAACUAAACCAAAGAUUCGAAGAAGAAAUACGAGGCUAUAAGUAAUCAUGCAUAUAAGAGAUCAAAACUCAAAUAACUUUCAUGGAUAAAAUAGAUCUGAUCAUAAACUCAAAGUUCAUCAGAUCCCAACAAACACACCGCAAAAAAGAGUUACAUCAAAUAGAUCUCCAAUAGACCAUUGUAUUGAGAAUCAAAAGAGAGAGAGGAAGCCAUCUAGCUACUAACUACGGACUCGUAGGUCUACAAUGAACUACUCACGCAUCAUCGGAGAGGCGCCAAUGAGCAUGAUGAACCCCUCCGUGAUGGUGUCUAGAUUGGAUCUGUGGUUUCUGGAACUUGUGGCGGCUGGAAUUGUGUUUCGUCAACUUCCGUAGGGUUUUUAGAAUAUUGGGGUAUUUAUAGAGCAAAGAGGCGGUGCGGAAGGCCACCGAGGUGGGCACAACCCACCAGGGCACGCUUGGGACCCCAGGUGGGUUGUGCCCCCUCGAGGCACCCCUCUGGUACUUCUUUGGUCCAUCAUGUGUCUUCUGACCCAGAAAAAUUCUCCAAGAAGUUUCGCUGUGUUUGGACUCCGUUUGGUAUUAUUUUUUGUGAAGUAAAAAACAAGCAAAAAACAGCAACUGACACUGGGCACUAUGUCAAUAGGUUAGUCCCAAAAAAUGAUAUAAAGUUGCUAUAAAAUCAUUUUAAAACAUCCAAGAAUGAUAAUAUAACAGCAUGGAACAAUAAAAAAUUAUAGAUACGUUGGAGACGUAUUAGUGCUCAACAGGUAUCUCCGAGGGUGUCUGUUGAGUUGGCAUGGAUCAAUACUAGGAUUUGUUACUCCGUAUGACGGAGAGGUAUCUCAGGGUCCACUCAGUAAUACAACACCACAAUGAGCUUGCAAGCAAUGUGACUAAAGAGUUAGCCACGAGAUCUUGUAUUACGGAACGAGUAAAGAGACUUGCCGGUAACGAGAUUGAACUAGGUAUGGAGAUACCGACGAUCGAAUCUUGGGCAAGUAACAUACCAUGGACAAAGGGAACUGCAUACAGGAUUAGCUGAAUCCUUGGCAUCGAGGUUCGACCGAUGAAGAUCUUCGUAGAAUAUGUAGGAACCAAUAUGGACAUCCAGGUCCCGCUAUUGCUUAUUGACCGUAGAGGUGUCUCGGUCAUGUCUGCAUAGUUCUCGAACCCGCAGGGUCUACACACUUAAUGUUUGGUGACGAUCUAAAUAUAGUUGAGUAACAGUGUUGGUGACCGAAGGUUGUUCGGAGUCCCGGAUCAGAUCCUAGUGUAGCGACUCGACCUCAGACGGUCAAGUCUCUGUGCUUAAGUGUCAUCCCUGGAUCGGUAUGCUGACACACACAGUACUCGAGGAUUUAUAACAGAGGUAAAUCACAUGUAUAAAAUAACGUAAAUACUAUUACCUCAAACCAAAAUAGCAGAAGUAACAAGGUUGUGGAUUCCCAUCAACACCAACGGCAAAGUUGAGUGUAGAAAUCGUAACCCUUACGUACCACUUACUCGUCGUAAGAAAAUCCUGCAACAUGAGACGUUGCAGCCACAAAGGGUCAGUACAUUGAAUGUACUGGCAAAUUCACACCAUAGGAUAAUGAUGAAUAAUGGCUAUCACUACAUGCAUAUUUGGUUGGUGGAAAAGCUCUAUGGUUAUAAUGUUUUAGCGAAAAGCCUAUUUUUUCCUACUACAAAGGAAUAUAAUUUAUUUAACUACAAAGUUGGUUGAAAAUAUUGAGAAGGUAAACCCCCUCUCAAUCCCAAUUAAAAAGUUAACAACCCAACAAAUUAAUUAUAUAGAGUGAUGAGAUCAACAUGAUAAUCCAAGAACCAGAUACUCAAAAUGUCCAUAACCGGGGACACAGCUAAUCAUGAUUAGUUUGUACACUCUGCAGAGGUUUGUGCACUUUUCCCCACAAGACUUGAUCUCCUCCGUUAGAUUUCUCGCACUACAUGGUCUUUGAGAAACGGAUGACCGAGACACAGUCUUUCCGAAGAGGUCCCCUUAACCGAUAGAUAGGCCGGUACACCUACAAUCCCCUACAUCUGCUAGCCCAUCAUGGAAAGGUUAACCACAACUUACUCAACUAUGCAAGAGCCCAUAAUGGCAGGUGGCUGCACACGGAAGUUUCUAGCAUGAAUAAUCUUAUGAUCCCUUUGAGCCUGGGUGGCAGUCCAUAGGAGAAUCACACGGUACCCCGGAAUUUCCAAAAAUAUAGGCAAUCACUGGAUACCCCAGGUGCCUCAAUCCACCCAGAUGUGUAUUAAAGUUGCCACCUUAAGUUGAACCAUUACUUAACAAUACUCACAUCUGUCAUGAAUACGCUCAAACCCAAACCAUGUCUACGAGCAUAGCAUAGCAAUAUAAGCAACGUAAUAGUAACUCCCAAGGUUUGAAUGCAGGGAAAUAGGUUCCUACCUCAUCAACUACUUCCCAAUACCCACGUGUUAUCAAUCCUACUCAUGCAAUGCUUGAGGGUGAAACUAAAUGCAUAAAAACUGGGUAUGAAAGGGAUAUGAUCAAAGUGUGAACUUGCCUGUACUGUUGAUGAAGAUGAUUCGCACUCAAAAAUCUUGAUAGUUCUACUCGUCAUACUCCGGUCAAUCUAUCGUAAGCAAUCAAUAGUAACCACACAUAAGCAAUCACUCAAAAGAUCGAAAAGAACGAAAAAGACAAUUUGGAAAACAUCAAAACCAAGCAAAUAACCCUUGCAACAUAAAACAACUUCUAACAGUACCAAAAUUAUGUGUAUUUGGCCUUAUCAGAAAGUUUAGGUCAAGAGCUUCGAUUUGCAAAAAGAAUCAACUCAAACGGAGCUACGAAACUCAAGUUAUGAUCAAACGAAGUUCAAAUACAAAACUAUUUGAAUUCAAACUUUAAACUUUCAAAAACAGAUUUGAGUUGGAUUACUGGAUAGAGGGGAUCAUAACGGAGAAGUGGGCGUUGGUUUCGUUGGAUUUGGAUAAACGAGCGAGAAGUUGCGACCGUUUGAAGAUCAGGGACUAAAUGGUAAGAAAACUAAUUACGAAUAGGUCCCUGUGUAAUUAAACAGAAAAAAAAUCUAAAUAGCGAACGUUCGCUACCGAACACUACCAAACGAAAACCAUUCGCUACUAACCCUAACUAACGAAUUGUUCACUAAAUUAACCUAAGUAAUGAAUAAAACCGAGAAAACCAGAGAGAGCCUAGAAAAAAACCGGACCGGGGGCGGUUUAUACCGGUUCGGGGCGGAUCGGGUCUGGCGGCGGCGGACCGGUCAACUCCGGCGGUUUUCCCGCGGCGGCGGGCGUCGGCGAGGACGGCGCUUGGGCAGAGGCGAGGCGAGGCGAGGCGGCUCCAGCGCGGNNNNNNNNNNNNNNNNNNNNNNNNNNNNNNNNNNNNNNNNNNNNNNNNNNNNNNNNNNNNNNNNNNNNNNNNNNNNNNNNNNNNNNNNNNNNNNNNNNNNNNNNNNNNNNNNNNNNNNNNNNNNNNNNNNNNNNNNNNNNNNNNNNNNNNNNNNNNNNNNNNNNNNNNNNNNNNNNNNNNNNNNNNNNNNNNNNNNNNNNNNNNNNNNNNNNNNNNNNNNNNNNNNNNNNNNNNNNNNNNNNNNNNNNNNNNNNNNNNNNNNNNNNNNNNNNNNNNNNNNNNNNNNNNNNNNNNNNNNNNNNNNNNNNNNNNNNNNNNNNNNNNNNNNNNNNNNNNNNNNNNNNNNNNNNNNNNNNNNNNNNNNNNNNNNNNNNNNNAAGGAGAGGGGGGGUCCCGGGCGGCGGCUUUAUAGGGGGUCGGGGAAGGCGCGUGACGUGGAGGAGGGGUCAAGGAGAGGCGGCGGCGGGAGUCCGGGCGGCGUACGGCGGCGGCGACGCCGUGCGGGUGCGGGAGUUCGUCCCGAGCUCGGGGACGAGCGGGGCGUGGCGCUGGGUUGGGCCGGCUGGCUCGGCUUCGGCCCAGUUGGCCCGCGGGGGAAGAAGUCUUCUUAAAAAAACAUUUUCUUAGACAAACAAAAAUAAUAAAAACAAAACUAAAAAAUAUUAUAUAGGCAUCUAAUAUAUCAAAAUUUACAAAAAAUUAUAUUCUACAACCUGAACAUUUUUGUCUAGUCAAAUAAAAUCGAGAAAAAUUCAAAUAAUUCAAAGAGUGCUACAGCCCUACUAAAAUCCAAUAAAAAAUCAUUUUAAAAAUACCAAAAUGAUUUCAAAUUUAUUUAUCUCCAAUUUUCUGAUGUAGGGAAUCAUUUUACCCUAUUUUCCAAAUAUUUUAUUUUUGGAGAAAAAUAAUUUGAAUAAAAACCAAAUAACUCCAAUUAAAAACAAUUUCCAAAAGAACUUUAAAUUUGAUCCUUUUAAACUCCCAACUCAUAUUUCAUAUGUUUUGAAGAAGUCAUUUUAUCUUCUCUCAUGAAAAUCAUUGAGUUGCUUGAAGUUUCUGAAUUUGAAAUAUUUCCCAAUGAAAUUCAAAUAUUUUCAAAAACCCUUUUCAUUUAUUUAAAUGGAAGAAGUCAUGUCAUCUUCUCUCCAGGGUUUUUGGUGAAAAGAAUUUGAAUUCACGGGGAUCACGAAUGCAAGGUGAAAGUUUGGGAAAGUCCUUUUAUUCCCUCUCAUUUAACUUUCAAAAAGUUUCGAAUUUCACUCAAUUUCACACAAGCAAUCAAACAAUCAAUCAAAUCUAUCUAUUUAAUUAUAACAUUCCAAAAUUUAGAAUUUUGGGAUGUUACACCUAGACAUGACGAGGAACUCCGGAAUGGUACGGAAGGUGAAGAUUGAUAUAUAGGAUCAAUGGAAUCGGAUUCCGAAAGGGUUUCGGGAGGUACCGGGUUAUCGCCGAAAGACCGAAAAGGGUUUCGGAGGCCCCGGCAAGUGUUGGGGGGCAUCAUGGGCCAAAGGAAGGGGACACACCGGCUCACAAGGGGCUGGGCGCCCCCCUCACCUCAGCCCACUCGGCCAGGGGGUUGGUACACCCCCCUAGGGCACUCGCCCCCCUCCUUGCUUGGGAGGCAAGGCACCUAGGGGGCGCCACCCAAACCCUAGGGCGCCUCCCAUCUGGUGGCCGCAGGCCCCCUAGGGGAAACCCUAGGUCGGCCCACCCCUCCUCCCUUCCCCCUAUAUAUAGAGGUGGAGAGGGAAGGCAUCCACACCCAUCUAUGCCACGGCGCUACCCUUCCUCUCCCUCGUAGUUCUUCUUAUUCUCCGGUAGGCUUGGCGAAGCCCUGCUGAGAUUUCUCCACCGCCACCGUCAUCACGCUGUCGUGCUGCCGGAGAACUUGAGCUACUAUAUCACCAUCGUUUGUUGGAUCAAGGAGGUAAAGGCGUCAUUGUAGCGACCCAACCUCAAACGGUCAAGUCUCUGUGCUUCAGUGUCAUCCCUGGAUAAGUAAUGCUGACACACACAGUACUCGAAGGAUUUAUAACAGAGUAGCAAUCACACACUUAUUACAUCAAAUGUCUCAAAAGAGAACUUAUUACAAUAAAUAUGGCUUAAGGCCAUCUAACACAAUAACAGCGGAAGGCUUGGCAGAUAAAGUGAGUCCAUCAACUCCAACGGCAUAGCUGAGUGCAUGACAACGGCCUAGCGAACCUUACUCCUCGUCUAAAAAGUCUGCAACAUGAUACGUUGCAACCCGAAAAUGGGUCAGCACAUGGAAUAUGCUGGCAAUAUAACAUAGUAGAGCAAUGAACAGAUAAAUGCUAUCACUACAUGCAUAUAUGGCUGGUGGUGGCUCUAUGGUUAUAUGAUUAUGCGAAAAGCCAAUUUUUCCCUACAACAAAGGAAUAAGUUUUAUUUAACUAUCAUGGUAGUUGAAACAUCAUUGAGAAGGUACCUCCAACUCAAUCCCAGUUAAAAAGUAAUUAUCAACCCAACAAAUUUAAUUAGAGUGAUGGGAUACAAUAGGAUAAUCCAAGUACUAGAUACUUAAGAUGUCCAUAACCGGGGACACGGCUAACCAUGAUUAGUUUGUACACUCUGCAGAGGUUUGCGCACUUUUCCCCACAAGACUCGAUCUCCUCCGUUGGAUUUCUCACACUACAGGGUGUUUGAGAAACGGAUGACCGAGACACAGUCUUUCAGAAGCAUUAACUCUAUACUCUGGGUGGACAGUUACACCUACUUCCCUCUACAUCUGCUAGCCCACCACUGAAAGAGGUCACACAACAUACUCAACUGUGCCAGAGCCCAUAAUGGCUUGUGGCUACACACGGAAGUUUCUAGCAUGAAUAAUCUUAUGAUCCCUUUGAGCCUGGGUGGCGGACCGUAGGAGGAUCACAUGGUAUAUCCCUGGGAUCUCCUAGGACAACACUGGAUUCCCCAGAUGCCCAAACAAGCAGUCCACCCAGAUGUGUAAUAUUAAAGUUGCCACCUUAAGUUGAACCAUGAAUUAACAACUCUCAUCUCUCAUGGAUACUCUCAAACCCAAUCCACGUCUAUGAGCAUAGCAUAGCAAUAUAAGCAGACGUAGAAGUAACUCCCAAGGGUUUGAUAUUAAAACAGGUAAUAGGUUCUACCUCAACAUCUACUUCCCAAUACCCACAAGUUAAACUCAUCCUAAUCAUGCAAGGUUUGAGGAUUGUAACUAAUGCAUAAAAACUGGGUAUUAAAGGGUAUGAUCAAUGUGUUACUUGCCUUGCUGACGAUCCGCAAAACCUAGUGACUCAUAGUAGCACGCUUCGCACUCCGGGAAUUCUAUCGCAAACAAACAAUAAUACACAUAAGCAAUCAAGCAAAGAUGCAUGGGUAAAACUCAAAUAAAAAUAUAUAACCAGAAAGUUCAACUUAAGAACUCCGGUUUGCAAAUAGAAUCAAAUCAAACGGAGCAACGAAACUCAAACUGCGAAAGAAACAAGAUCUGAUUACUAAUCUGGACUAAAGACAAAUUUUACAGUACCAAAAUCUUCUUCAAGUUGGUUAAACAGAAAGAGGGCUUUGAGACGAAGAUCUAGGCGCUUGAAUCGCCUGAUUCCGAUAAAUGAGCGAAAAGAUAAACUAAAACGAAAAUCGGGUUAGAAAUCGUGAUCGGAAAUAAUCGCGAAAACUCUAGAAAAAGAAAAACUGACGAACAGGCUAACGAACGAAUGUUCGCUGUCUGUGACUAACGGGUCAACGGCGUUCGUUUAAACGAACAAACGGACGAAUGUCCGCAAAAUAAAUAAAUCAACGGAAAAACCGAUCUAAUGAAUUAAACAGGAAAUUAAAAAAUUGGAUCUAGAUCUAGGGUUUACCGAAAUAAACCGACGAAAGAAAAAAAAACGGCCCGGUAGGUCGGUUGACCUUUUUUAUAAAUAAAAAAUGUGUCGCAGAAAAACGAAGAAAAGAAAUACUAAACUGACUCCAAAAAUCCCGAAAUAAGUUUUCCUGUCCUCUAAAAAUAUGCCGGACAGAGUGAACAUUUAUUUGGGCCUAUAAUGCAAUUUUGAAAAACGCGUAUUUUUCCUAAUUCAAAUAAAAUUGCAAUAAAAUCCGAAUAAAAUAAAUAUUUGAUUUUAAUAUUUUCCUCCAACAUUUCAUUUAUUUUGGAGAAGUCAUAUUAUCUCCUCUCAUAUAUAUUUUUUGAUAUGAAAUAUUUUCGAAGGGAAAAUAAAUUAAAACCAAACUGAUCCUUGUUUCAAUAUUUGAUAAAAUUCAAAUAUGUAAAUCGUGAGAUCCCCAACUCUCUUCGAGGGUCCUUGAGUUGCUUAGAAUUUCGAGGAUCGCAAACGAAAAUGCAAUAAAAUAUGAUAUGCAUGAAUGACCUAUGUAUAACAUUCCAAAUUGAAAUUUUGGGAUGUUACAAACCUACCCCCCUUAAGAUGAAUCUCGCCCUCGAGAUUCAGGUUGGCUAGAAAAUAGGUGCGGGUGGUCUUUGCGCAGAUCAUCCUCUCGUUCCCAAGUGGCUUCAUCCUCAACAUGGUGGCUCCACUGUACCUUGCAAAACUUGAUAACCUUGUUGCGAGUAACCCGGCUGGCAAACUCUAGAACCUUGACAGGUUUCUCCUCAUAUGUCAAAUCACUGUCCAACUGUAUCGCUUCCAGGGGCACUGUAUCUCUCAGAGGAAUAUCGGCCAUCUCUGCAUGGCACUUCUUCAACUGGGAAAAGUGAAACACAUCAUGUACUCCUGACAGUCCUUCGGGUAACUCCAACUUGUAGGCAACCUCUCCCAUACGUUCCAAAACACGGUAUGGUCCUACAAAUCUCGGGGCUAAAUUUCCUUUAACUCCAAAACAUUUAACUCCUCGAAGAGGUGACACUCGUAGAUACGCCCUGUCUCCGAUUUCAUAGACUACCUCCUUGCGUUUCGAAUCUACAUAACUCUUCUGUCGGGACUGAGCUACCUUCAGUCUAUCUCGAAUCAGCUAAACCUUCUCUUCAGAUUCCUUAAUCAAAUUCGGUCCAAACAACUAGCGAUCUCCAACUUCAUCCCACAUCAAUGGUGUUCGGCAUCUUCUUCCAUACAGGGCUUCGAAAGGUGCCAUCUUCAAACUGGCCUGGUAGCUGUUGUUGUAUGAGAACUCCGCGUAGGGUAAAUUGUCAUCCCAACUAGACCCAUAGUCUAGCGCACAAGCUCUCAACAUGUCCUCCAGAAUCUGAUUAACUCUCUCUAUCUGUCCAUCUGUCUGUGGGUGAAAAGCUGUACUGAACUCCAGCCUGGUUCCCAAAGUCUGGUGCAGCUGGUGCCAAAACUUUGAGGUAAACUGUGUUCCUCUAUCUGAUACGAUGGUCCUCGGAACUCCGUGCAGACAUACGAUCCUGGUCAUGUAUAUCUUGGCCAACUUCGCACUUGUAUAGGUGAUUUUCAUUGGGGUAAAGUGGGCUACUUUGGUCAAGUUAUCCACUACUACCCAGAUAGAAUCAUACCCCGAUCGGGUCCUGGGUAAUCCGGUGAUAAAAUCCAUGCCAAGCUUAUCCCACUUCCAUUCGGGUAUCGGCAUAGGCUGCAGUAAUCCUGCUGGCUUCUGAUGUUCUGCCUUCACUCUCUGACAUACAUCACAUAGGGCUACAUAGUCGGCAAUAUCCUUCUUCAUACCAGUCCACCAGAAACGCUCCUUCAAAUCCAAAUACAUCUUAGUGUUUCCGGGGUGUAUCGAGUAGGGCGAGUCAUGAGCUUCUUGAAGUAUCAGCUUCCUGAUAUCUGCAUUAUUGGACACAUAAAUGCGGUCCUCAAACCACAAGGUGUCAUGCUCAUCCUCACGAAAACCUUUGGCUUUUCCUUCGCUCAUCUUCGCUUUUAUCUCAGCAAUCUCUUUGUCAUCUUUCUGAGCUUCUCGAAUCUUUCCCAACAAUGUGGACUGAACCUCCAUUGCUACAACAAAACCUCUAGGAACAAUCUCCAAACGUAGCUCCCUGAGAUCCUCGGCUAACUCUUUUGGCAUCCCUCCGCUUACGGGGUGUUAACAUAACUCUUAUGGCUCAAAGCGUCUGCUACGACAUUUGGCUUUCCUGGAUGAUAAUGCAGCUUCAUGUCAUAAUCCUUUAUGAGCUCCAACCAUCUCCUCUGCCUGAGGUUCAGCUCCUUCUGAGUAAAGGUGUACUUCAAACUCUUGUGAUCCGUAUAUACAUCGCAACGGUUUCCAAAGAGAAAAUGUCUCCAGGUCUUGAGCGCAUGCACCACAGCUGCUAACUCCAAAUCAUGCGUGGCAUAAUUCAACUCGUGCGGUUUCAGUUGUCGUGAGGCAUACGAAACAACUCUCCCGUCUUGCAUAAGUACUCCUCCAAGUCCUAAGCGAGAGGCGUCGCAAUACACUUGGAAAUCCUUGCGUAUAUCCGGCAGAAUCAGCACUUGGGCUAUAGUCAAACGUUUCUUCAACUCCUGGAAACUUGCUUCACAUUCAGCAGUCCAAUGGAACUUAGUGUCCUUCUUCAACAAUGCCGUCAUAGGCUUCGCGAUCUUAGAAAAAUUCUCAAUGAAUCUCCGAUAGUAUCCCGCGAGUCCAAGAAAACUGCGGAUCUCUCCAACUGAGGUGGGUGCCAACCACUCAGUGACUGACUGGACCUUGGUGGGAUCCACUGCUAUACCUUCUCUUGAUAUAACAUGUCCAAGAAAUCCAACUUCCUUCAACCAAAACUCACAUUUGCUGAACUUGGCAUAUAACUGAUGUUCCCUGAGCUUCUCGAGAACCAAAUGCAAAUGCUCCUUAUGUUCCUCUUCAUUCUUCGAGUAUACCAAGAUAUCAUCAAUGAAAACCACAACAAACUUAUCCAAGAACUCCAUGAACACCUUGUUCAUCAUACUCAUGAAAUAGGCAGGGGCGUUAGUCAGUCCAAAUGACAUAACCGUAUACUCAUAUAGCCCGUACCUUGUGGUGAAGGCUGUCUUAGGCAUAUCCUUCUCCCUAAUCUUCAGUUGGUGAUAUCCUGGUCGCAGAUCGAUCUUCGAAAACACCUUAGCUCCUUGCAACUGGUCAAACAAAUCAUUGAUCAUCGGAAGUGGGUACUUAUUCUUGAUUGUUAUUUCAUUCAACGCACAAUAAUCAACAACCAUCCUUAAGGAUCCAUCCUUCUUCUCAACCAAGAGCACUGGGGCUCCCCAUGGUGAUGAACUUCUUCGAAUGUAACCUUUCUCCAAUAACUCCUUAAUCUGCUUCUUAAUCUCCCCAGAUCGUUUGCGGGCAUCCGGUAUGGUCUCUUCGAUAUAGGCCCGGUGCCUGGCAACAGCUCUUAUCAAAAACUCGAUAUCUUGAUCUGGUCGCAUGCCUGGUAACUCCUCCGGAAAUACAUCCGGGUAAUCCUUCACUACCGGCACUUCCUCCUGAACAACUCCCGUGAGAGAAUUUACUUGGGUCCUCCUUGGCGCAUGCCUGGAUACAUACUUGAUCCUUUUUCCCUCUGGGGUGGUGAGUAAAAUUGACUUACUUGCGCAAUCGAUGUUUCCUCCUUACAUCGAUAGCCAAUCCAUUCCUAGUAUCACAUCCAAACCUUGUGACUCCAAAAUUAUCAGGUCUAAGGGGAAAACAUGGCUUCCAAUGGUCAAUGGCAUCUGAAAACAUCCUUGUCUUGCCAUAUAUUCUGCUCCUGGCGAACUUACUAACAUAGGUGUCCUAAGUACCUUAGUGGGCAACUUAUACUUAUCCACAAAUCCCCUUGAUAUGUAUGAAUGCGAUGCACCAGUAUCAAAAAGAACGAUUGCAGUAAAAGACUUAACCAAAAACUUACCAAUAACUGCAUCAGACUGCUCCUCAACCUCCUCCACGUUCACGUGGUUCACUUGUCCCCUGUUGAAAGGGUUGGGCUUCUUCCCAGCGCUUCCAUUGCCAAUUUCGUUCUUCAAUUCCGGACAAUCAUUGGCGUAGUGCCCAGUCUUCCCGCACUUGAAACAGGUAAUGUGACUUUGAUCCUUCUUGGCGGGUGUGGCUGGGUUAGAGCAGUUCUGAUUGCUGCCUGCUCCAUUCCCAUUUCCAUUCUUGGGGCCAUUAUGGUUAUGGGAACUUCCUCCAUUGUGGGUGUGGCCUCCAUGAUUAUGGAUAAGUCCUCCCGAGUUCGGGGUGAAACGAGGCUUCUGCUGAGCUCCAGAAUUGUACUUUCCUUGUCCAUACUUCCUCUUGCGGCUCUCAAUCUGCUAAUGCUUCCCUUCAAUCAUAAGAGCCUUGUCUACCAACUCCUGGUAGUUGUUAAAUGUUGCCACCAUUAACUGCAUGCUCAUCUCAUCAUUUAGCCCUUCCAUAAACUUCUCCUGCUUUGCGGCAUCUGUGGCCACAUCAUCAGGGGCAUAACGAGAUAGCUUACUAAACUCAUCUACAUACUGAGCCACAGUACGAUUUCCCUGGCGUAAGUUGCGAAACUCACGCUUCUUCAUGCUCAUGGCUCCAAUUGAGACAUGAGCUGUGCGGCAUGCUUGCUGAAACUGAUCCCAAGUGACAUUCGCUAUGGGAAAAGUGGCUGUGUAAUUCUCCCACCAUGAGGCUGCUAGUCCAUCCAAUUGAUAUGCGGCAAAACGCACUUUCUCUGCAUCCGUGCAACCUGCGCUGGUCAACUCCCUUCCAAUCCUGCGUAGCCAGUCAUCCGCAACUAUUGGCUCGAUGCUACUCGAAAACACCAGCGGUUGUAACCUCAGAAAAUGGGCUAAGUUGUCAACUGGAGGAGGGUUGUUGUUGUUGUUGUUGUUGUUGUUUUUGUUGUUGUUGUUGCCUUGGUUCUGGACUAAUAUCUGCAUCAAGGCAUUCUGCUGCUGGAUCAACUAGGUGAUCUCGGGUGGGAAGACAAAUCCGGUGUCAUGUCUCGGAGGCAUCUGAUGGGUUUAGAGGGAAUGGAGUAGAAUAGAAAUUAGGUCUAGUGAGAAAACACUACCCAUAUGCACAUGAUACAAACACAAUCAUAACACUCAAUCAAUCAAGCAAGGGCAUACAAUCGAUCUAACUAUUGUUACAGUGCUCGGACUAUACUAUUUACAUGGGGGAAAUACUACUGGUCAUAUGGUGGUCUACAAGAAAUUUUGAUCGGUGGAAGACUCCAUGAUGUCCGCUCCAGCUUCGUCUUCAUAAUCAUCAUCACUAUCAUCGGGGUCGGAAUCAGUGUCGUCGAUGAUGAUGUAGUCUUCGGAACGAAUCUCCUUGGGUUCAUCGUCUUCUCCUCCUGGCGCGGGAUCUCCCAUGAACACUCCGAUCUUCUUAAUCAGGUCGUCAUUCUUCUCCAAUAGUAUUGUGAUUUCCUCCUCAUAUCCAUCGCGUGUAGACUUGAGUUCCUCCUCUAGCUCGAUGAUCCUUGUCAUCGCCUUCUUUAAAUCUAUCAUGCUCGCGCACAUCUGGUUCUCCUGGCGUCGAAUGUGCUGGUUUAACUCCUGGAUGAAUGCUGCAAUGGACCUGUCCUUCCUGGUGCUGACUAUCUCCCAUUGCUCAUCUCGGCGCCCGCAUAUCUGGUAGAUAGUAUCCUUGAGAUCCUUGUGGCAAACUUCGCCAAUGCGUCCCAUGGCGAUGUGGGUUGCCAUGCUCUUUCCCAGACUCCAGGUUGGGGCAUCAAAGGAAAAAUCUAUGGGCACCGUGACUGGCGUGAAUGUCCUUCCUGGAACUUGAACUCGAAUUAUCCAGCGCUCCUCUUCUGGUAAUGUGGCGUUGUAGGUCCCGGUGAAGCUUGGUAUUCCAAUGUUCAGGUAUCUAGUGACUUCCUUCAAGUGUCGUCCAAAGGGGGUGUCUUCAUCCGGUUAUGCAAACUUGUUCCUCGAAUCCGCCAUCCUAAAGAGUAGAGAAUGGAGAGGAGUCAGAAAUGAGUAGAGAAGAGUAACCUAUGGCUUUCUUAGUGGUCGUGUCCUACAUUCAGCGUGUGCUCUGAUACCAUCUUGUAGCAACCCGACCUCAAACGGUCAAGUCUCUGUGCUUCAGUGUCAUCCCUGGAUCGGUAAUGCUGACACACACAGUACUCAAAGGAUUUAUAACAGAGUAGCAAUCACACACUUAUUACAUCGAAUGUCUCAAAAGAGAACUUAUUACAAUAAAUAUGGCUUAAGGCCAUCUAACACGAUAACAGCGGAAGGCUUGGCAGAUAAAGUGAGUCCAUCAACUCCAACGGCAUAGUUGGGUGCAUGACAACGGCCUAGCGAACCUUACUCCUCGUCUGAAAAGUCUGCAACAUGAUACGUUGCAGCCCGAAAACGGGUCAGCACAUGGAAUAUGCUGUUAAUAUAACACAGUAGAGCAAUGAACAGAUAAAUGCUAUCACUACAUGCAUAUAUUGCUGGUGGAGGCUCUAUGGUUAUAUGAUUUUGCGAAAAGCCAUUUUUCCCUACAACAAAAGAAUAAGUUUUAUUUAACUAUCAUGGUAGUUGAAACAUCAUUGAGAAGGUACCUCCAACUCAAUCCCAAUUAAAAAUUAAUUAUCAACCCAACAAAUUUAAUUAGAGUGAUGGGAUACAAUAGGAUAUUCCAAGUACUAGAUACUCAAGAUGUCCAUAACCGGGGACACGGCUAACCAUGAUUAGUUCGUACACUCUGCAGAGGUUUGCGCACUUUUCCCCACAAGACUCGAUCUCCUCCGUUGGAUUUCUUGCACUACGGGGUGUUUGAGAAACGGAUGACCAAGACACAGUCUUUCAGAAGCAUUAACUCUUUACUCUGGGUGGACAGUUACACAUACUUCCAUCUACAUCUGCUAGCCCACCACUGAAAGAGGUCACACAACAUACUCAACUAUGCCCGAGCCCAUAAUGGCUUGUGGCUACACACAGAAGUUUCUAGCAUGAAUAAUCGAUCCCUUUGAGCCUGGGUGACGGGCCGUAGGAGGAUCACACGGUAUAUCCCCGGGAUCUCCUAGGACAACGCUGGAUUCCCUAGGUUCCCAAACAAGCAAUCCACCCAGAUGUGUAUUAAAGUUGCCACCUUAAGUUGAACCGUUAAUUAACAACUCUCAUCUCUCAUGGAUACUCUCAAACCCAAUCCAUGUCUACGAGCAUAGCAUAGCAAUAUAAGCAUACAUAGAAGUAACUCCCAAGGGUUUGAUAUUAAAACAGGUAAUAGGUUCUACCUCAACAUCUACUUCCCAAUACCCACAAGUUAAACUCAUCCUAAUCAUGCAAGGUUUGAGGAUUGUAACUAAAGCAUAAAAACUGGGUAUUAAAGGGUAUGAUCAAUGUGUUACUUGCCUUGCUGACGAUCCGCAAAACCUAGUGACUCGUAGUAGCACGCUUCGCACCCCGGGAAUUCUAUCGCAAACAAACAAUAACACACAUAAGCAAUCAAGCAAAGAUGCAUGGGUAAAACUCAAAUAAGAAGAUAUAAUCAGAAAGUUCAACUUAAGAACUCCGGUUUGCAAAAAGAAUCAAAUCAAACGGAGCAACGAAACUCAAACUACGAAAGAAACAAGAUCCGAUUACUAAUCUGGACUAAAGACAAAUUUUACAGUACCAAAAUCUUGUUCAAGUUGGUUAAACAGAAAGAGGGCUUCGAGACUAAGAUCUAGGCGCUUGAAUAACCUGAUUCUGAUAAACGAGCGAAAAGAUAACCUAAAACAAAAAUCGGGUCAGAAAUCGGGAUUGGACAUAAUCACGAAAAACUCUAGAAUAAGAAAAACUGACGAACAGGAUUAUUGACUCUAGUGCAAGUGGGAGACUGAAGGAAAUAUGCCCUGGAGGCAAUAAUAAAGUUAGUAUUUAUUUCCUUAUAUCAUGAUAAAUGUUUAUUAUUCAUGCUAGAACUGUAUUAAUCGGAAACUUGAUACAUGUGUGAAUACAUAGACAAACAGAGUGUCACUAGUAUGCCUCUACAUGACUAGCUCGUUGAUCAAAGAUGGUUAUGUUUCCUGGCCAUAGACAUGAGUUGUCAUUUGAUUAACGGGAUCACAUCAUUAGGAGAAUGAUGUGAUUGACUUGACCCAUUCCGUUAGCUUAGCACUCGAUCGUUUAGUAUGUUGCUAUUGCUUUCUUCAUGACUUAUACAUGUUCCUAUGACUAUGAGAUUAUGCAACUCCCGUUUACCGGAGAUACACUUUGUGUGCUACCAAACGUCACAACGUAACUGGGUGAUUAUAAAGGUGCUCUACAGGUGUCUCCGAAGGUACUUGUUGGGUUGGCGUAUUUCGAGAUUAGGAUGUGUCACUCCGAUUGUCGGAGAGGUAUCUCUGGGCCCUCUCGGUACUGCACAUCACUUAAGCCUUGCAAGCAUUGCAACUAAUGAGUUUGUUGCAAGAUGAUGUAUUACGUAACGAGUAAAGAGACUUGCCGGUAACGAGAUUGAACUAGUAUUGAGAUACCGACGAUCGAAUCUCGGGCAAGUAACAUACCGAUGACAAAGGGAACAACGUAUGUUGUUAUGCGGUCUGACCGAUAAAGAUCUUCGUAGAAUAUGUGGGAGCCAAUAUGAGCAUCCAGGUUCCGCUAUUGGUUAUUGACCGGAGACGUGUCUCGGUCAUGUCUACAUAGUUCUCGAACCCGUAGGGUCCGCACGCUUAACUUUUCGAUGACAGUCAUAUUAUGAGUUUAUAGGUUUUGAUGUACCGAAGGUUGCUCGGAGUCCCGUAUGUGAUCAUGGACAUGACGAGGAGUCUCAAAAUGGUCGAGACAUAAAAAUUGAUAUAUUGGAAGCCUAUGUUUUGAUAUCGGAAGUGUUCCUGGUGAAAUCGGGAUUUUACCGGAGUACCGGGAGGUUACCGGAACCCCCCGGCAACAUAAUGGGCCUUAGUGGGCCUAGGUGGAAGAGAGGAGAGGCGGCUAGGGCUGGGCCGCGCGCCCCUCCCCCUAGUCCGAAUAGGACAAGGAGAAGGGGGCGGCGCCCCCCCCCCCCCUUCCUUCUUCUCCCUCUCCUCUUUCCCCCUUCCCAAGUCCUAAUCCAACUAGGAAAAAGGGGGAUGUCCUACUCCCUGUGGGAGUAGGACUCCUCCUGGCGCGCCCCAAGGCUGGCCGCACCUCCCCCCUUUGAUCCUUUAUAUACGGGGGCAGGGGGCACCCCAUAGACACAACAAUUGAUCUCUUGAUCUCUUAGCCGUGUGCGGUGCCCCCCUCCACCAUAAUCCACCUUGAUAAUAUCGUAGCGGUGCUUAGGCGAAGCCCUGCGUCGGUAGAACAUCAUCAUCAUCACCACGCCAUCGUGCUGACGGAACUCUCCCUCAAAGCUCGGCUGGAUCGGAGUUUGAGGGACGUCAUCGAGCUGAAUGUGUGCUGAACUCUGAGGUGCCGUACGUUCGAUACUUGGAUCGGUCGGAUCGUGAAGACGUACGACUACAUCAACCGCGUUGUCAUAACGCUUCUGCUUUCGGUCUACGAGGGUACGUGGACAACACUCUCCCCUCUCGUUGCUAUGCAUCAUCAUGAUCUUGCAUGUGCGUAGGAAAUUUUUGAAAUUACUACGUUCCCCAACAGUGGCAUCCGAGCCUGGUUUUAUGCGUAGAUGUCAUAUGCACGAGUAGAACACAAGUGAGUUGUGGGCGAUAUAAGUCAUACUGCUUACCAGCAUGUCAUACUUUGGUUCGGCGGUAUUGUUGGAUGAAGCGGCCCGGACCGACAUUACGCGUACGCUUACGCGAGACUUGUUCUUCCGACGUGCUUUGCACAGAGGUGGCUGGCGGGUGUCAGUUUCUCCAACUUUAGUUGAACCGAGUGUGGCUACGCCCGGUCCUUGCGAAGGUUAAAACAGCACCAACUUGACAAACUAUCGUUGUGGUCUUGAUGCAUAGGUAAGAACGGUUCUUGCUCAGCCCGUAGCAGCCACGUAAAACUUGCAACAAGAAAGUAGAGGACGUCUAACUUGUUUUUGCAGGGCAUAUUGUGAUGUGAUAUGGUCAAGGCAUGAUGCUAUAUUUUAUUGUAUGAGAUGAUCAUGGUUUGUAACCGAGUUAUCGGCAACUGGCAGGAGCCAUAUGGUUGUCGCUUUAUUGUAUGCAAUGCAAUCGCCAUGUAAUUGCUUUACUUUAUCACUAACCGGUAGCGAUAGUCGUAGAAGCAAUAGUUGGCGAGACGACAACGAUGCUGCGAUGGAGAUCAAGGUGUCGCGCCGGUGAUGAUGGGGAUCAUGACGGUGCUUCGGAGAUGGAGAUCACAAGCACAAGAUGAUGAUGGCCAUAUCAUAUCACUUAUAUUGAUUGCAUGUGAUGUUUAUCUUUUAUGCAUCUUAUCUUGCUUUGAUUGACGGUAGCAUUAUAAGAUGAUCUCUCACUGAAUUUCAAGAUAAAAGUGUUCUCCCUGAGUAUGCAUCGUUGCCAAAGUUCGUCGUGCCCAGACACCACGUGAUGAUCGGGUGUGAUAAGCUCUACGUCCAUCUACAAUGGGUGCAAGCCAGUUUUGCACACGCAGAAUACUCAGGUUAAACUUGACGAGCCUAGCAUAUGCAGAUAUGGCCUCGAAACACUGAGACCGAAAGGUCGAGCGUGAAUCAUAUAAUAGAUAUGAUCAACAUAGUGAUGUUCACCAUUGAAAACUACUCCAUUUCACGUGAUGAUCGGUUAUGGUUUAGUUGAUUUGGAUCACGUGAUCACUUAGAUGAUUAGAGGGAUGUCUAUCUAAGUGGGAGUUCUUAAGUAAUAUGAUUAAUUGAACUUUAAUUUAUCAUGAACUUAUUCUUGGUAGUAUUAGCAUAUCUAUGUUGUAGAUUAAUAGCUCGCGUUGUUGCUUCCCUAUGUUUUAUAUAUGUUCCUAGAGAAAACUAAGUUGAAAGAUGUUAGUAGCAAUGAUGCGGAUUGGAUCCGUGAUCUGAGGUUUAUCCACAUUGCUGCACAGAAGAAUUAUGACCUUGAUGCACCACUAGGUGACAGACCUAUUGCAGGAGCAGAUGCAGACGUUAUGAACGUUUGGCUAGCUCAAUAUGAUGACUACUUGAUAGUUCAGUGCACCAUGCUUAACGGCUUAGAAUCGGGACUUCAAAGACGUUUUGAACGUCAUGGACCAUAUGAGAUGUUCCAGGAGUUGAAGUUAAUAUUUCAAGCAAAUACCCGAGUUGAGAGAUAUAAAGUCUCCAACAAGUUCUAUAGCUAAAAGAUGGAGGAGAAUAGCUCAAGCAGUGAGCAUGUGCUCAGAUUGUCUGGGUACUACAAUCGCUUGAAUCAAGUGGGAGUUAAUCUUCCAGAUAAAAUAGUGAUUGACAGAAUUCUCUAGUCACCAUCACCAAGUUAGUAGAACUUCGUGAUGAACUAUAGUAUGCAAGGGAUGACGGAAGUAAUUCCCGAGCUCUUCGUGAUGCUGAAAUCGACGAAGGUAGAAAUCAAGAAAAACAUCAAGUGUUGAUGGUUGACGAGACCACUAGUUUCAAGAAAAACAGCAAAGGGAAGAAGGGGAACUUCAAGAAGAACGGCAAGCAAGUUGCUACUCAAGUGAAGAAGCCCAAGUAUGGUCCUAAGCCUGAGACUAAGUGCUUCUACUCCAAAGGGACUGGUCACUGGAAGCGGAACUGCCCCAAGUAUUUGGCGGAUAAGAAGGAUGGCAAAGUGAACAACGGUAUAUUUGAUAUACAUAUUAUUGAUGUGUAUUUUAUUAGUGUUCGUAGCAACCCCUCCGUAUUUGAUACCGGUUCAGUUACUAAGAGUAGUAAUUCGAAACAGGAGUUGCGGAAUGAACAGAGACUAGUUAAGGGUGAAGUGACGAUGUGUGUUGGAAGUGGUUCCAAGAUUGAUAUGAUCAUCAUCGCACGCUCCCUACACUUUCGGGAUUAGUGUUGAACCUAAAUAAGUGUUAUUUGGUGUUUGCGUUGAGCAUGAAUAUGAUUUGAUCAUGUUUAUUGCAAUACAGUUAUUCAUUUAAGUUAGAGAAUAAUUGUUGUUCUAUUUACAUGAAUAAAACCUUCUAUGGUCAUACACCCAAUGAAAAUGGUUUGUUGGAUCUCGAUCGUAGUGAUACACAUAUUCAUAAUAUUGAAGCCAAAAGAUGCAAAGUUAAUAAUGAUAGUGCAACUUAUUUGUGGCACUGCCGUUUAGGUCAUAUUAGUGUAAAUCGCAUGAAGAAACCCCAUGCUGAUGGGAUUUUGGAAUCGCUUGAUUAUGAAUCACUUGAUGCUUGCGAACCAUGCCUCUUGGGCAAGAUGACUAAAACGCCGUUCUCCGGAACAAUGGAGCAAGCAACAGAUUUGUUGGAAAUCAUACAUACUGAUGUAUGUGGUCCGAUGAAUAUUGAGGCUCGUAGCGGGUAUCAUUAUUUUCUGACCUUCACAGAUGAUUUGAGCAAAUAUGGGUAUAUCUACUUAAUGAAACAGAAGUCUGAAACAUUUGAAAAGUUCAUAUAAUUUCAGAGUGAAGUGGAAAAUCAUCGUAACAAGAAAAUAAAGUUUCUACGAUCUGAUCGUGGAGAAGAGUAUUUGAGUUACGAGUUUGGUCUUCAGUUAAAACAAUGUGAAAUAGUUUCACUCCUCAUGCCACCUGGAACACCACAGCGUAAUGGUGUGUCCGAACAUCGUAACCGUACUUUAUUAGAUAUGGUGCAAUCUAUGAUGUCUCUUACCGAUUUACCACUAUCGUUUUGGGGUUAUGCAUUAAAGACAGUUGCAUCCACGUUAAAAAGGGCACCGUCUAAGUCCGUUGAGACGACACAAUAUGAACUGUGGUUUGGCAAGAAACCAAAGUUGUCGUUUCUUAAAGUUUGUGGUUGUGAUGCUUAUGUGAAAAGCUUCAACCUGAUAAGCUCGAACCGAAAUCGGAGAAAUGUGUCUUCAUAGGAUACCCAAAGGAGACUGUUGGGUACACCUUCUAUCAAAGAUCCGAAGGCAAGACUUUUGUUGCUAAAUUCGAAAUCUUUCUGGAGAAGGAGUUUCUCUCGAAAGAAGUGAGUGGCUGGAAAGUAGAACUUGAUGAGGUAACUGUACCUGCUCCCUUACUGGAAAGUAGUUCAUCACAGAAAUAUGUUCCUGUGACUCCUACACCAAUUAGUGAGGAAGCUAAUGAUGAUGAUCAUGUAACUUCAAGAUCAAGUUACUACCGAACCUCGUAGGUCAACCAGAAUGAAAUCCGCACCAGAGUGGUACGGUAAUCCAGUUCUGGAGGUCAUGUUACUUGACCAUGACGAACCUAUGAAUUAUGAGGAAGCGAUGAUGAGCCCAGAUUCCGCAAAAUGGCUUGAGGCCAUGAAAUCUGAGAUGGGAUCCAUGUAUGAGAACAAAGUAUGGACUUUGAUUGACUUGCCCAAUGAUCGGCGAGCCAUUGAGAUUAAAUGGAUCUUCAAGAGGAAGACGGACGCUGAUAGUAGUGUUACUAUCUACAAAGCUAGAAUUGUCGCAAAAGGUUUUCGACAAGUUCAAGGUGUUGACUACGAUGAGAGUUUCUCACUCGUAUCUAUGCUUAAGUCUGUCCGAGUCAUGUUAGCAAUUGCCACAUUUUAUGAAAUCUGGCAAAUGGAUAAACAAAGCUGCAUUCGUUAAUGGAUUUAUUAAAGAAGAGUUGUAUAUGAUGCAACCAGAAGGUUUUGUCAAUCCUAAAAGUGCUAAAAAAAUAUGCAAGCUCCAGCGAUCCAUCUAUGGACUGGUGCAAGCAUCUCGGAGUUGGAAUAUACGCUUUGAUAAGUUGAUCAAAGCAUAUAGUUUUAUACAGAAUUGCGGUGAAGCCUGUAUUUACAAGAAAGUGAGUGGGAGCACUACAGCAUUUCUGAUAAGCAUAUAGUGACAUAUUGUUGAUUGGAAAUAAUGUAGAAUUAUUCUGCAAAGCAUAAAGGAGUGUUUGAAAGGAGUUUUUCAAACAAGGACCUCGGUGAAGCUCCUUACAUAUUGAGCAUCAAGAUCUAUAGAGAUAGAUCAAGACGCUUGAUAAGUUUUUUCAAUGAGUACAUACCUUGACAAGAUUUUGAAGUAGUUCAAAAUGGAACAGUCAAAGAAAGAGUUUCUUGCCUGUGUUACAAGGUGUGAAAUUGAGUAAGACUCAAAGCCCGACCACGGCGGAAGAUAGAAAGAGAAUGAAAGUCAUUCCCUAUGCCUCAACCAUAGGUUCUAUAAAGUAUGCCAUGCUGUGUACCAGAUCUAUUGCAUACCCUACCACUGAGUUUGGCAAGGGAGUACAAUAGUGAUCUAGGAGUAGAUCACUGGACAGCGGUCAAAAUUAUCCUUAGUGGAAUAAGGAUAUGUUUCUCGAUUAUUGAUGUGACAAAAGGUUGGUCGUAAAGGGUUACGUCGAUGAAAGUUUUGACACUAAUCUAGAUGACUCUAAGUCUCGGUCUAGAUACAUAUUGAAAGUGGGAGCAAUUAGCUAGAGUAGCUCCAUGCAGAGCAUUGUAGACAUAGAAAUUUGCAAAAUACAUACGGAUCUGAAUGUGGCAGACCCGUUGACUAAACUUCUCUCACAAGGAAAACAUGAUCACACCUUAGUACUCUUUGGGUGUGAAUCACAUAGCGAUGUGAACUAGAUUAUUGACUCUAGUAAACCCUUUGAGUGUUGUUCACAUAACGAUGUGAACUAUGGGUGUUAAUCACAUGGUGAUGUGAACUAUUGGUGUUAAAUCACAUGGCGAUGUGAACUAGAUUAUUGACUCUAGUGCAAGUGGGAGACUGAAGGAAAUAUGCCCUAGAGGCAAUAAUAAAGUUAUUAUUUAUUUCCUUAUAUCAUGAUAAAUGUUUAUUAUUCAUGCUAGAAUUGUAUUAACCGGAAACAUAAUAAAUGUGUGAAUACAUAGACAAACAUAGUGUCACUAGUAUGCCUCUACUUGACUAGCUCGUUGAUCAAAGAUGGUUAUGUUUCCUAGCCAUUGACAUGAGUUGUCAUUUCAUUAACGGGGUCACGUCAUUGGGAGAAUGAUGUGAUUGACUUGACCCAUUCCGUUAGCUUAGCACUCGAUCGUUUAGUAUUCUGCUAUUGCUUUCUUCAUGACUUAUACAUGUUCCUAUGACUAUGAGAUUAUGCAACUCCCGUUUACCGGAGGAACACUUUGUGUGCUACCAAACGUCACAACGUAACUGGGUGAUUAUAAAGGUGCUCUACAGGUGUCUCUGAAGGUACUUGUUGGGUUGGCGUAUUUCGAGAUUAGGAUUUGUCACUCCGAUUGUCGGAGAGGUAUCUCUGGGCCCUCUCGGUAAUGCACAUCACUUAAGCCUUGCAAGCAUUGCAACUAAUGAGUUUGUUGCGGGAUGAUGUAUUACGGAACGAGUAAAGAGACUUGCCGGUAACGAGAUUGAACUAGGUAUUGAGAUACCGACGAUCGAAUCUCGGGCAAGUAACAUACCGAUGACAAAGGGAACAACGUAUGUUGUUAUGCGGUUUGACCGAUAAAGAUCUUCGUAGAAUAUGUGGGAGCCAAUAUGAGCAUCCAGGUUCCGCUAUUGGUUAUUGAACGGAGACGUGUCUCGGCCAUGUCUACAUAGUUCUCGAACCCGUAGGGUCGGCACGCUUAACGUUUCGAUGACAGUUAUAUUAUGAGUUUAUAUGUUUUGAUGUACCGAAGGUUGUUCGCAGUCCCAGAUGUGAUCACAGACAUAACGAGGAGUCUCAAAAUGGUCGAGACGUAAAGAUUGAUAUAUUGGAAGCCUAUGUUUGGAUAUCGGAAGUGUUCCGGGUGAAAUCGGGAUUUUACCGGAGUACCGGGAGGUUACCGGAACCCCCCGGCAACAUAAUGGGCCUUAGUGGGCCUAGGUGGAAGAGAGGAGAGGCGGCUAGGGCUGGGCCGCGCGCCCCUCCCCCCUAGUCCGAAUAGGACAAGGAGAAGGGGGGGCGCCCCCCCUUCCUUCUUCUCCCUCUCCUCUUUCCCCCCUCCCAAGUCCUAAUCCAACUAGGAAAAGGGGGCGAGUCCUACUCCCGGUGGGAGUAGGACUCCUCCUGGCACGCCCCAAGGCUGGCCGCACCUCUCCCCCUUUGCUCCUUUAUAUAGGGGGGCAGGGGGGCACCCCACAGACACAACAAUUGAUCAUUGAUCUCUUAGCCGUGUGCGGUGCCCCCCUCCACCAUAUUACACCUUGAUAAUAUCAUAGCGGUGCUUAGGCGAAGCCCUGCAUCGGUAGAACAUCAUCAUCGUCACCACGCCGUCGUGCUGACGAAACUCUCCCUCAACACUCAGCUGGAUCGGAGUUCGAGGGACGUCAUCGAGUUGAACGUGUGCUGAAUUCGGAGGUGUCGUACGUUCGGUACUUGGAUCGGUCGGAUCGUGAAGACGUACGACUACAUCAACCGCGUUGUCAUAACGCUUCCGCUUUCGGUCUACGAGGGUACGUGGACAACACUCUCCCCUCUCGUUGCUAUGCAUCACCAUGAUCUUGCGUGUGCGUAGGAAUUUUUUCGAAAUUACUACGUUCACCAACACCUAUUCGAUCCCCAAUGUCACCUCUCUCUCGCUCGCCGCCCACACACCCUAAACCUAACCCGAUUGCGCCGCCGCCCCAGACCUGCGCGCCGCCGCAAAAUCCUACCCACGUAUUCUGUACCCAAAUGUGUAUUAUCCACAUAUCGAGCCUAUGAAGGCCCAGUGGCUGUGAUGCACACCCAUUACUCAAGAAGAAAAGUAGAACAACCUAUCAAUAUAUGAAAUAUUAAUGUGUGUGCGCUUUUCCCAAAGAUCUUCCCGUAAGUUUGCAUUUUAAUGUGCAUACGUGACCUCGUUUUCUACUGUCGAUUUUGACUCAACUUGAACAUCUCAAUGAUGAGCCCUUUUUGCACAUGACAUUUCUGAAUUCUCUCCUCACGGCAGCAGGUGAUUUUCUCAUGGAUGUUUGCACAGGAGCUUGUUUUUGCUUCCAUACUGGUUUUGUUCAGUUGGUCAAGUUGGUAUUGUUCCCUCUGCAGUGCGGAUAAAUACCCCUGGAGAUGCACAGAGUGGGCUAAGUCAUCCUAUGACCACAAUGAUGGGCUGCUACUGACGACGCGAGGUGAUCUUUUUAUAUGUUCAAUUCUUCAAUUGUCAUUUCAGAUCCUUGGACUAGUGGCUGGGAUUGUAUUAGUUAGUCAGAGAUACCUAUUUGUACCGAAGUUCAGCUACUAAGUUGAAUAUAGCCCUCUUGUUCUAACCAGGUUCAGUAGAAUUGGAUAUUUUCAAUCUGCUGAUCACUCUUGCUUUUUGCCAAAAAUCUAAAGUCAUUGGCCAAUGGCAUGUUAAUUUUGCAUCGGUCGUUAGUUCUGUGCACAUACAAUACUUGAUCGGGACUAAAACUGUAGUACUUGAGCAAGAAAGGCUGAUUACGGAUUCAUUAGCAUGUCAAUAAGUCAAUCUGGUCUUCCUCUAUGUACUUGUCAGGGCUCAUUGAUAGCAUGGUUCUGCUCACUGAAAUAGGAGAGGCGCUGAACAAGGCAGAGAAGGCACAAAUGGCCAAGUACACUUGACGGAAGAUUGAUGAAACUGGGAGCAGGUAAAAACUGAGACCACAAGCACUGAGGCUUGAGUAAUAAUUCCAGUAAGCUCAGAGUACUACUUCCACAACCGCGUAUGAUAAAUUUUAGAAGUACGAAUAAAGGCGUAGAAAUUAACACAAAUUGCUAGUUUAUGUCUUCAAUUAUUUCCGAACGGAUUGGAAGUGCAAGCCUUGAUGAAUUCACUGUCCACACAUGUUUUGCGAAGUUUUUGAAACGAAAUUGCAAUUGAAAUCCAGAUGCAGCUACGUGUAAAUAUAUUUGCUGCUAUUAGCACAUAUUUUUUCCCUAUACAAAGGUCUUCUACUAUUUCAAUACCCAUCAUAUGUGAAAAUUUGCGGUGAUAAAUGAAACAUAUCUACAAUCUGAUGUAAUUUGUUCCUGAUAGUGGAACAUGACAAUAUCAGUGGUGUAAUGUUCACUCUUGUUUGAUCUAAUUUCUGGAUUCCCUUUCCUUGUACUUCUAAGAAAAUAAUUAAGUUCUUGCAUUAGGUAUAGAACACAAAGAUAAUGCUAGUUGCAUCUUUUAUUGAGGAAGAAACUCAUGCCCUCCUUAAUUACAAUAGUAAUAGCACAUUAGAUAUGAUGUCUCGAUAUUUUGUAGAAGAUAUUCUUAUGAUUGCGUCUUGAGCUCGGUUCCAAUUUGCAGUAUGGAAUUUUGUAGCACUACUACAAUAGCUGAUCAUGUCCCAAGUUUUAAAUGUGCACGUGCUUUGAACUUUGUCUAGAUGAAUUGGGAGCAUGUAGUAAUUAAAUGGAUUAUAGAUGAACUGGGAGCACCUAGUAAAUAGUAGCCAUGAUUUCAUUUUAAGUUUUCAUACAUUUAUCCCAGCAAUUACUCAUAGUAGACAUCUGGUCUUUGAAAUGGCUUUGUUUUCAUCUGAUUGCUGGUACAUUUUUUUAGAAAGGAGGAAUCUGCCCGGCCUUAAACUGAGGCCCUUACAGGUUCACCAAAGUUCAAACAAGGUAAUAUAUGACUGCUCGUAUACGGCUGCUGGUACAUGCAUAUUUACUAGUGCAUAUCUGAUUGUUUGCCGAUUGAGGAACUUCAAAUGCAAAUCUCUAAAAUUACAAUAAGAACCAUAUUCUUGAUGCCUUAGAACAGAUCUGAGUGCUUAUCGUGAGUGCAUAAAUUUGCAAAGCCAUGUGAUAUGCUAUAUGUGCUAGCCUGACUUUGGUUGAUGUUAUUAUAAGGGUAUCUUGUGUAACCUGUUUGCAGCCCAUCUACUUUUAGAUAUCUGGAAUCAAGGGCCACUUAAAAAUUUGAAGAAAAAUUCUCAUUUUCUAAGAUUGCUCAAACAUAUGAGUUCUUUUGCAGGGACAAAUGGCAAAACGUAGCAAGGCCACAAGUUGAUGUAAGAUGUUCUGGUGAUUUCUUUGUUCAUAACGUGGUUGAGACAUUUUGUUCAUACGGAAGUUCAUGUUGGCUUGGUGAUCAGACUUGGGCUCUUCCAUAAUAUUUUGUAGUAGUCAAGUGAUUGAACAAUUGGUCAACUUGGCCAUCCCAUUUUGUAACAGACCACCACAGCUUGAAUGCCAACUUAUGUAUGUCCUUAAUCCAUUAUAGCUAACUUGAGUAAAGAAGACUAAUGAAUCUACUAUAUAUGUUGAAUGGUAUAUUGUCAAUUGAUCAAUGGUGUAUUAUGAUGAAUAGAAAAGUGUAAUUGUGAUGAAUAGAAGCGUGUAAUUGUUUGUAUAUCUGUUGGGUACGGAACAUGAAUUGAAUAUUAUGAAUUUAAUGAUGUUUUAAUAUAACGUGCAUUUGCAUUUGUGCUAAAAUAUGGACCCUCGCAGUAACUGUGUAGGUAGAAGUAUUAACGUUGCAUUAUCUGUUGGUGUAGCUGCUACCUCUUGAGCACUGCGUUGGUUUUCCCUUCAAGAGGAAAGGGUGAUGCAGUAAAGUAGCGUAAGUAUUUCCCUCAGUUUUUGAGAACCAAGGUAUAAAUCCAGUAGGAGGCCACGCACAAGUCCCUCGCACCUACACAAACAAAUAAAAAUCCUCGCAACCAACGCAAUAAAGGGGUUGUCAAUCCCUUUAUGGUCACUUAUGAAAGUGAGAUCUGAUAGAUAUGAUCAUCAUCGCACGCUCCCUAUACUUUCGGGAUUAGUGUUGAAACUAAAUAAGUGUUAUUUGGUGUUUGCGUUGAGCAUGAAUAUGAUUUGAUCAUGUUUGUUGCAAUACGGUUAUUCAUUUAAAUUAGAGAAUAAUUAUUGUUCUGUUUACAUGAAUAAAACCUUCUAUGGUCAUACACCCAAUAAAAUGGUUUGUUGGAUCUCGAUCGUAGUGAUACACAUAUUCAUAAUAAUGAAGCCAAAAGAUGCAAAGUUAAUAAUGAUAGUGCAACUUAUUUGUGGCACUGCCGUUUAGGUCAUAUUGGUGUAAAGCGCAUGAAGAAACUCCAUGCUGAUGGGAUUUUGGAAUCACUUGAUGCUUGCGAACCAUGCCUCUUGGGAAAGAUGACUAAAACGUCGUUCUCCGGAACAAUGGAGCAAGCAACAGAUUUGUUGGAAAUCAUACAUACUGAUGUAUGUGGUCCGAUGAAUAUUAAGGCUUGCGGCGGGUAUCAUUAUUUUCUGACAUUCACAGAUGGUUUGAGCAGAUAUGGGUAUAUCUACUUGAUGAAACACAAGUCUGAAACAUUUGAAAAGUUCAAAGAAUUUCAGAGAGAAGUGGAGAAUCAUCGUAACAAAAAUAAAAGUUUCUACGAUAUGAUCGCAGAGGUAAAAUAUUUGAGUUACGAGUUUGGCCUUCAGUUAAAACAAUGUGAAAUAAUUUCACUACUCACGCCACCUGGAACACCACAGUGUAAUGGUGUGUCCGAACGUCGUAGCCGUACUUUAUUAGAUAUGGUGCGAUCUAUGAUGUCUCUUACCGAUUUACCACUAUCGUUUUGGGGUUAUGCAUUAAAGACAACUGCAUCCAUGUUAAAAAAGGGCACCGUCUAAGUCCGUUGAGACGACACAAUAUGAACUGUGGUUUGGCAAGAAACCAAAGUUGUCGUUUCUUAAAGUUUGGGGUUGCGAUGCUUAUAAGAAAAAGUUUCAAACUGAUAAGCUCGAACCUAAAUCGGAGAAAUGUGUCUUCAUAGGAUACCCAAAGGAGACUGUUGGGUACACCUUCUAUCACAGAUCCGAAGGCAAGACAUUCGUUGCUAAGAAUGGAUCCUUUCUAUAGAAGGAGUUUCUCUCAAAAGAAGUGAGUGGGAGGAAAGUAGAACUUGAUGAGGUAACUGUACCUGCUCCCUUAUUGGAAAAUAGUUCAUCACAGAAACCGGUUCCUGUGACGCCUAUACCAAUUAGUGAGGAAGUUAAUGAUGAUGAUCAUGGAACUUCAGAUCAAGUUAUUACUGAACCUCGUAGGUCAACCAGAGUAAGAUCCGCACCAGAGUGGUACGGUAAUCCUGUUCUGAAGGUUAUGUUACUAGACCAUGACGAACCUACGAACUAUGAAGAAGCGAUGGUGAGCUCAGAUUCCGCAAAAUGGCUUGAGGCCAUGAAAUCUGAGAUGAGAUCCAUGUAUGAGAACAAAGUAUGGACUUUGAUUGACUUGCCCAAUGAUUGGCGAGCCAUUGAGACUAAAUGGAUCUUCAAGAGGAAGACGGACGCUGAUAGUAGUGUUACUAUCUACAAAGCUAGAAUUGUCGCAAAAGGUUUUCGACAAGUUUAAGGUGUUGACUACGAUCAGAGUUUAUCACUCGUAUCUAUGCUUAAGUCUGUCCGAAUCAUGUUAGCAAUUGCCGCAUUUUAUGAAAUCUGGCAAAUGGAUAAACAAAACUGCAUUCCUUAAUGGAUUUAUUAAAGAAGAGUUGUAUAUGAUGCAACCAGAAGGUUUUGUCAAUCCUAAAGGUGCUAACAAAAUAUGCAAGCUUCAGCGAUCCAUCUAUAGACUGGUGCAAGCAUCUCGGAGUUGGAAUAUACGCUUUGAUAAGUUGAUCAAAGGAUAUAGUUUUGUACAGACUUUGCGGUGAAGCCUGUAUUUACAAGAAAGUGAGUGGGAGCACUACAGCAUUUCUGAUAAUUAUAUGUGAAUGACAUAUUGUUGAUCGGAAAUAAUGUACAAUUAUUCUGCAAAGCAUAAAGGAGUGUUUGAAAGGAGUUUUUCAAAGAAAGACCUCGGUGAAGCUGCUUACAUAUUGAGCAUCAAGAUCUAUAGAGAUAGAUCAAGACGCUUGAUAAGUUUUUUCAAUGAGUACGUACCUUAACAAGAUUUUGAAGUGGUUCAAAAUGGAACAGUCAAAUAAAGAGUUUCUUGCCUGUGUUACAAGGUGUGAAAUUGAGUAAGACUCAAAGCCCGACCACGGCAGAAGAUAGAAAAAAAUGAAAGUCAUUCCCUAUGCCUCGGCCAUAGGUUCUAUAAAGUAUGCCAUGCUGUGUACCAGAUCUAUUGUAUACCCUACACUGAUUUUGGCAAGGGAGUACAAUAGUGAUCUAGGAGUAGAUCACUGGACAGCGGUCAAAAUUAUCCUUAGUGCAAUAAGGAUAUGUUUCUCGAUUAUGGAAGUGACAAAAGGUUCGUCGUAAAGGGUUACAUCGAUGCAAGUUUUGACACUAAACUAGAUGACUCUAAGUCUCGGUCUAGAUACAUAUUGAAAGUGGGAGCAAUUAGCUAGAGUAGCUCCGUGCAGAGCAUUGUAGACAUAGAAAUUUACAAAAUACUUACGGAUCUGAAUGUGACAGAUGUUGGAGAUAUGCCCUAGAGGCAAUAAUAAAUGGUUAUUAUUAUAUUUCUUUGUUCAUGAUAAUAGUCUAUUGUUCAUGCUAUAAUUGUAUUGUCCGGAAAUCGUAAUACAUGUGUGAAUACAUAGACCACAACGUGUCCCUAGUAAGCCUCUAGUUGACUAGCUCGUUGAUCAACAGAUAGUCAUGGUUUCCUGACUAUGGACAUUGGAUGUCAUUGAUAACAGGAUCACAUCGUUAGGAGAAUGAUGUGAUGGACAAGACCCAAUCCUAAGCAUAGCAUAAAAGAUCGUGUAGUUUCGUUUGCUAGAGCUUUUCCAAUGUCAAGUAUCUUUUCCUUAGACCAUGAGAUCGUGCAACUCCCGGAUACCGUAGGAGUGCUUUGGGUGUGCCAAACGUCACAACGUAACUGGGUGACUAUAAAGGUGCACUACGGGUAUCUCCGAGUUUGGUGCACACUUAAGGAAAUGUGGAAUAGUUUCACAACUCACGCCGCCUGGAACACCUCAGAGAAAUGGUGUGUCCGAACGUCAUAAUCGCACUCUAUUGGAUAUGGUGCGAUCUAUGAUGUCUCUUACCGAUUUACCGCUCUCAUUUUGGGGUUAUGCUUUAGAGACUGCCGCAUUCACUUUAAAUAGGGCACCGUCUAAAUCCGUUGAGACGACACCGUAUGAAUUAUGGUUUGGGAAGAAACCUAAGCUGUCGUUUCUAAAAGUUUGGGGAUGCGAUGCUUAUGUCAAGAAACUUCAACCUGAAAAGCUCAAACCCAAGUCGGAAAAAUGCGUCUUCAUAGGAUACCCUAAGGAAACUAUUGGGUAUACCUUCUACCUCAGAUCCGAGGGCAAGAUCUUCGUUGCCAAGAACGGGUCCUUUCUGGAGAAGGAGUUUCUCUCGAAAGAAUUGAGUGGGAGGAAAGUGGAACUUGAUGAGGUGAUAGUCACCCCUUCCGAACCGGAAAGUAGCGCAGCGCGGGAAAAUGUUCCUGUGGUGCCUACACCGACUGGGGAGGAAGUUAAUGAUGAUGAUCAUGAAGCUUCGGAUCAAGUUACUGAACUUCGUAGGUCCACAAGGACACGUUCCGCACCAGAGUGGUACGGCAACCCUGUCCUGGAAAUCAUGUUGUUAGACAACGGUGAACCUUCGAACUAUGAAGAAGCGAUGGCGGGCCCGGAUUCCGACAAAUGGCUAGAAGCCAUGAAAUCCGAGAUAGGAUCCAUGUAUGAAAACGAAGUAUGGACUUUGACUGACUUGCCCGAUGAGCGGCGAGCCAUAGAAAACAAAUGGAUCUUUAAAAAGAAGACGGACGUAGAUGCUAAUGUGACCAUCUACAAAGCUCGACUUGUCGCUAAGGGUUAUCGACAAGUUCAAGGGGUUGACUACGAUGAGACUUUCUCACCCGUAGCGAAGCUGAAGUCCGUCCGAAUCAUGUUAGCAAUUGCCGCAUACUAUGAUUAUGAGAUAUGGCAGAUGGACGUCAAAACGGCAUUCCUUAACGGCUUCCUCAAGGAAGAGUUGUAUAUGAUGCAGCCGGAAGGUUUUGUCGAUCCUAAGAAUGCUAACAAAGUAUGCAAGAUCCAACGCUCAAUCUAUGGGCUGGUGCAAGCAUCUCGGAGUUGGAACAUUCGCUUUGAUGAGAUGAUCAAAGCGUUUGGGUUCACACAGACUUAUGGAGAAGCCUGUGUUUACAAGAAAGUGAGUGGGAGCUCUGUAGCAUUUCUCAUAUUAUAUGUGGAUGACAUACUGUUGAUGGGAAAUGAUAUAGAAUUCUUGGAGAGUAUAAAGGCCUAUUUGAAUAAGUGUUUUUCAAUGAAAGCUUGGAGAAGCUGCUUAUAUAUUAGGCAUCAAGAUCUAUAGAGAUAGAUCAAGACGCCUCAUUGGUCUUUCACAGAGUACAUACCUUGACAAGAUAUUGAAGAAGUUCAAUAUGGAUCAGUCCAAGAAGGGGUUCUUGCCUGUAUUGCAAGGUGUGCAAUUGAGCACGGCUCAAUGCCCGACCACGGCAGAAGAUAUAGAAGAGAUGAGUGUUAUCCCCUAUGCCUCGGCCAUAGGGUCUAUUAUGUAUGCCAUGCUGUGUACCAGACCUGAUGUAAACCUUGCCGUAAGUUUGGUAGGAAGGUACCAAAGUAAUCCCGGCAAGGAACACUGGACGGCGGUCAAGAAUAUCCUGAAGUACCUGAAGAGGACUAAGGAUAUGUUUCUCGUUUAUGGAGGUGACGAAGAGCUCGUCGUAAAGGGUUACGUCGACGCUAGCUUCGACACAGAUCUGGAUGACUCGAAGUCACAGACCGGAUACGUGUAGAUAUUGAAUGGAGGAGCAGUAAGCUGGUGCAGUUGCAAGCAAAGCGUCGUGGCGGGAUCUACAUGUGAAGCGGAGUACAUGGCAGCCUCGGAGGCAGCACAGGAAGCAGUCUGGAUGAAGGAGUUCAUUACCGACCUAGGGGUGAUUCCCAAUGCGUCGAGCCCGAUGACUCUCUUCUGUGACAACACUAGAGCUAUUGCCCUUGCGAAGGAGCCCAGGUUUCACAGGAAGACCAGGCAUAUCAAGUGUCGCUUCAACUCCAUUCGUGAAAGUGUUCAAAUGGAGACAUAGAUAUUUGUAAAGUACAUACGGACCUGAAUGUAGCAGAUCCGUUGACUAAACCUCUCCCUAGGGCAAAACAUGAUCAACACCAGGACGCAAUGGGUGUUCGAUUCAUCACAAUGUAACUAGAUUAUUGACUCUAGUGCAAGUGGGAGACUGUUGGAGAUAUGCCCUAGAGGCAAUAAUAAAUGGUUAUUAUUAUAUUUCUUUGUUCAUGAUAAUAGUCUAUUGUUCAUGCUAUAAUUGUAUUGUCCGGAAAUCGUAAUACAUGUGUGAAUACAUAGACCACAACGUGUCCCUAGUAAGCCUCUAGUUGACUAGCUCGUUGAUCAACAGAUAGUCAUGGUUUCCUGACUAUGGACAUUGGAUGUCAUUGAUAACAGGAUCACAUCGUUAGGAGAAUGAUGUGAUGGACAAGACCCAAUCCUAAGCAUAGCAUAAAAGAUCGUGUAGUUUCGUUUGCUAGAGCUUUUCCAAUGUCAAGUAUCUUUUCCUUAGACCAUGAGAUCGUGCAACUCCCGGAUACCGUAGGAGUGCUUUGGGUGUGCCAAACGUCACAACGUAACUGGGUGACUAUAAAGGUGCACUACGGGUAUCUCCGAAAGUGACUGUUGGGUUGGCACGGAUCGAGACUGGGAUUUGUCACUCCGUGUGACGGAGAGGUAUCUCUGGGCCCACUCGGUAAUGCAUCAUCAUAAUGAGCUCAAUGUGACUAAGGCGUUAGUCACGGGAUCAUGCAUUGCGGUACGAGUAAAGAGACUUGCCGGUAACGAGAUUGAACAAGGUAUUGGGAUACCGACGAUCGAAUCUCGGGCAAGUAACAUACCGAUUGACAAAGGGAAUUGUAUACGGGAUUGAUUGAAUCCUCGACACCGUGGUUCAUCCGAUGAGAUCAUCGUGGAACAUGUGGGAGCCAACAUGGGUAUCCAGAUCCCGCUGUUGGUUAUUGACCGGAGAGGCGUCUCGGUCAUGUCUGCAUGUCUCCCGAACCCGUAGGGUCUACACACUUAAGGUUCAGUGACGCUAGGGUUGUAGAGAUAUAUGUAUGCGGAAACCCAAAAGUUGUUCGGAGUCCCGGAUGAGAUCCUGGACGUCACGAGAGGCUCCAGAAUGGUCCGGAGGUGAAGAAUUAUAUAUAGGAAGUCCAGUUUCGGCCACCGGGAAAGUUUCGGGGGUUACCGGUAUUGUACCGGGACCACCGGAAGGGUCCCGGGGGUCCAUCGGGUGGGGCCACCUAUCCCGGAGGGCCUCGUGGGCUGAAAGUGGAAGGGAACCAGCCCUUAGUGGGCUGGGCGCCCCCCUUGGGCCUCCCCCCAUGCGCCUAGGGUUGGGAACCCUAGGGGGAGUUCCCCCUUGCCUUGGGGGGCAAGGCAACCCCUUCCCCCCUUGUGGCCGCCGCCCCCCCUUGAGAUCCCAUCUCUUGGGGCCGGCCCCCCCCCCAGGGGGCCUAUAUAAAGGGGGGAGGGAGGGCAGCAAUACACAGCCUUGGGCGCCUCCCUCCUCCCCUGCAACACCUCCCUCUCUCGCAGAAGCUUGGCAAAGCCCUGCCGAGACCCGCUACAUCCACCACCACGCCGUCGUGCUGCUGGAUCUCCAUCAACCUCUCCUUCCCCCUUGUGGAUCAAGAAGGAGGAGACGUCGCUGCACCGUACGUGUGUUGAACGCGGAGGUGCCGUCCAUUCGGCACUCGGUCAUCGGUGAUUUGGAUCACGGCGAGUACGACUCCGUCAUCCACGUUCAUUGGAACGCUUCCGCUCGCGAUCUACAAGGGUAUGUAGAUGCACUCCUUUCCCCUCGUUGCUAGUAGACUCCAUAGAUGCAUCUUGGUGAGCGUAGGAAAAUUUUAAAUUAUGCUAUGAUUCCCAACAGUGGCAUCAUGAGCCAGGCCUAUGCGUAGUUACUAUGCACGAGUAGAACACAAAGCAGUUGUGGGCGUUGAGUUUGCCAAUUCUUCUUGCCGCUACUAGUCGUUUCUUGUUUCGGCGGCAUUGUAGGAUGAAGCGGCCCGGACCGACCUUACACGUACGCUUACGUGAGACUGGUUCCACCGACUGACAUGCACUAGUUGCAUAAGGUGGCUAACGGGUGUGUGUCUCUCCUACUUUAGUCGGAACGGAUUCGAUGAAAAGGGUCCUUAUGAAGGGUAAAUAGAAAUUGGCAAAUCACGUUGUGGUCAUACGUAGGUAAGAAAACGUUCUUGCUAGAAACCUACAAACCACGUAAAAAACUUGCAACAACAAUUAGAGGACGUCUAACUUGUUUUUGCAGCAAGUGCUAUGUGAUGUGAUAUGGCCAGAAGAUGUGAUGAAUGAUAUAUGUGAUGUAUGAGAUUGAUCAUAUUCUUGUAAUAGGAAUCACGACUUGCAUGUCGAUGAGUAUGACAACCGGCAGGAGCCAUAGGAGUUGUCUUUAUUAUUUUGCAUGACCUGCGUGUCAUUGAAUAACGCCAUGUAAAUUACUUUACUUUGUUGCUAAACGCGUUAGCCAUAGAAGUAGAAUUAAUCGUUUGCGUGACGACUUCAUGAAGACACAAUGAUGGAGAUCAUGGUGUCAUGCCGGUGACGAAGAUGAUCAUGGUGCCCCGAAGAUGGAGAUCAAAGGAGCAUGAUGAUAUUGGCCAUAUCAUGUCACUAUUUGAUUGCAUGUGAUGUUUAUCAUGUUUUUGCAUCUUAUUUGCUUAGAACGACGGUAGUAAGUAAGAUGAUCCCUUAUAAUAAUUUCAAGAAAGUGUUCGCCCUAACUGUGCACCGUUGCGAAGGUUCGUUGUUUCGAAGCACCACGUGAUGAUCGGGUGUGAUAGAUUCUAACGUUCGAAUACAACGGGUGUUGACGCGCCUAGCAUGUACAGACAUGGCCUCAGAACACACGCAAUACACUUAGGUUGACUUGACGAGCCUAGCAUGUACAGACAUGGCCUCGGAACACGGAGGACCGAAAGGUCGAGCAUGAGUCGUAUAGAAGAUACGAUCAACAUGGAGAUGUUCACCGAUCUUGACUAGUCCGUCUCACGUGAUGAUCGGACACGGCCUAGUUAAAGUCGGAUCAUGUAUCACUUAGAUGACUAGAGGGAUGUCUAUCUGAGUGGGAGUUCAUUAAAUAAUUUGAUUAGAUGAACUUAAUUAUCAUGAACUUAGUCUAAAAUCUUUACACUAUGUCUUGUAGAUCAAAUGGCCAACGUUGUCCUCAAUUUCAACGCGUUCCUAGAGAAAACCAAGCUGAAAGAUGAUGGCAGCAACUAUACGGACUGGGUCCGGAACCUGAGGCUCAUCCUCAUAGUAGCCAAGAAAGAUUAUGUCUUAGAAGCACCGCUAGGUGAAGCACCAAUCCCAGAGAACCAAGACGUUAUGAACGCUUGGCAAUCACGUGCCGAUGAUUACUCCCUCGUUCAGUGCGGCAUGCUUUACAGCCUAGAACCGGGUCUCCAAAAGCGUUUUGAGAAACAUGGAGCAUAUGAGAUGUUCGAGGAGCUGAAACUGGUUUUUCAAGCUCAUGCCCGGGUCAAGAGAUAUGAUGUCUCCGACAAGUUCUUCAGCUGUAAAAUGGAGGAAAAUAGUUCUGUUAGUGAGCACAUACUCAGAAUGUCUGGGUUGCACAACCGCUUGUCUCAGCUGGGAGUUAAUCUCCCGGAUGACGCGGUCAUUGACAGAAUCCUCCAGUCGCUUCCACCAAGCUACAAGAGCUUUGUGAUGAACUACAAUAUGCAGGGGAUGGAAAAGACCAUUCCCGAGGUAUAUUCAAUGCUGAAAUCAGCGGAAGGGGAGAUCAGAAAAGAACAUCAAGUGUUGAUGGUGAAUAAAACCACUAAGUUCAAGAAGGGCAAGGGUAAGAAGAACUUCAAGAAGGACGGCAAGGGAGUUGCCGCGCCCGGUAAACCAGUUACUGGGAAGAAGUCAAAGCAUGGACCCAAGCCCGAGACUGAGUGCUUUUAUUGCAAGGGAAGUGGUAACUGGAAGCGGAACUGCCCCAAAUACUUAGCGGACAAGAAGGCCGGCAACGCCAAAGGUAUAUGUGAUAUACAUGUAAUUGAUGUGUACCUUACCAGUACUCGUAGUAGCUCCUGGGUAUUUGAUACCGGUGCGGUUGCUCAUAUUUGUAACUCAAAACAGGAACUACGGAAUAAACGGAGACUGGCGAAGGAUGAGGUGACGAUGCGCGUCGGGAAUGGUUCCAAGGUCGAUGUGAUCGCCGUCGGCACGCUACCUCUGCAUCUACCUACGGGAUUAGUUUUAAACCUCAAUAAUUGUUAUUUAGUGCCAGCUUUGAGCAUGAACAUUGUAUCUGGAUCUCGUUUAAUUCGAGAUGGCUACUCAUUUAAAUCCGAGAAUAAUGGUUGUUCUGUUUAUUUGAGAAAUAUGUUUUAUGGUCAUGCCCCGCUGGUCAAUGAUUUAUUUUUGAUGAAUCUCGAACGUGAUGUUACACAUGUUCAUAGUGUGAAUACCAAAAUAUGUAAAGUUGAUAACGAUAGUCCCACAUACUUGUGGCACUGCCGCCUUGGUCACAUUGGUGUCAAGCGCAUGAAGAAGCUCCAUGCAGAUGGACUUUUGGAGUCUCUUGAUUACGAAUCAUUUGACACGUGCGAACCAUGCCUCAUGGGUAAGAUGACCAAGACUCCGUUCUCCGGAACAAUGGAGCGAGCAACCAACUUAUUGGAAAUCAUACAUACCGAUGUGUGCGGUCCAAUGAGUGUUGAGGUUCACGGAGGAUAUCGUUAUGUUCUCACUCUCACUGAUGAUUUAAGUAGAUACGGGUAUGUCUACCUAAUUAAACACAAGUCUGAAACCUUUGAAAAGUUCAAGGAAUUUCAGAGUGAAGUUGAGAAUCAACGUGACAGGAAAAUAAAAUUCUUACGAUCAGAUCGUGGUGGAGAAUAUUUAAGUCACGAGUUUGGUGCACACUUAAGGAAAUGUGGAAUAGUUUCACAACUCACGCCGCCUGGAACACCUCAGAGAAAUGGUGUGUCCGAACGUCGUAAUCGCACUCUAUUGGAUAUGGUGCGAUCUAUGAUGUCUCUUACCGAUUUACCGCUCUCAUUUUGGGGUUAUGCUUUAGAGACUGCCGCAUUCACUUUAAAUAGGGCACCGUCUAAAUCCGUUGAGACGACACCGUAUGAAUUAUGGUUUGGGAAGAAACCUAAGCUGUCGUUUCUAAAAGUUUGGGGAUGCGAUGCUUAUGUCAAGAAACUUCAACCUGAAAAGCUCAAACCCAAGUCGGAAAAAUGCGUCUUCAUAGGAUACCCUAAGGAAACUAUUGGGUAUACCUUCUACCUCAGAUCCGAGGGCAAGAUCUUCGUUGCCAAGAACGGGUCCUUUCUGGAGAAGGAGUUUCUCUCGAAAGAAUUGAGUGGGAGGAAAGUGGAACUUGAUGAGGUGAUAGUCACCCCUUCCGAACCGGAAAGUAGCGCAGCGCGGGAAAAUGUUCCUGUGGUGCCUACACCGACUGGGGAGGAAGUUAAUGAUGAUGAUCAUGAAGCUUCGGAUCAAGUUACUGAACUUCGUAGGUCCACAAGGACACGUUCCGCACCAGAGUGGUACGGCAACCCUGUCCUGGAAAUCAUGUUGUUAGACAACGGUGAACCUUCGAACUAUGAAGAAGCGAUGGCGGGCCCGGAUUCCGACAAAUGGCUAGAAGCCAUGAAAUCCGAGAUAGGAUCCAUGUAUGAAAACGAAGUAUGGACUUUGACUGACUUGCCCGAUGAGCGGCGAGCCAUAGAAAACAAAUGGAUCUUUAAAAAGAAGACGGACGCAGAUGCUAAUGUGACCAUCUACAAAGCUCGACUUGUCGCUAAGGGUUAUCGACAAGUUCAAGGGGUUGACUACGAUGAGACUUUCUCACCCGUAGCGAAGCUGAAGUCCGUCCGAAUCAUGUUAGCAAUUGCCGCAUACUAUGAUUAUGAGAUAUGGCAGAUGGACGUCAAAACGGCAUUCCUUAACGGCUUCCUCAAGGAAGAGUUGUAUAUGAUGCAGCCGGAAGGUUUUGUCGAUCCUAAGAAUGCUAACAAAGUAUGCAAGAUCCAACGCUCAAUCUAUGGGCUGGUGCAAGCAUCUCGGAGUUGGAACAUUCGCUUUGAUGAGAUGAUCAAAGCGUUUGGGUUCACACAGACUUAUGGAGAAGCCUGUGUUUACAAGAAAGUGAGUGGGAGCUCUGUAGCAUUUCUCAUAUUAUAUGUGGAUGACAUACUGUUGAUGGGAAAUGAUAUAGAAUUCUUGGAGAGUAUAAAGGCCUAUUUGAAUAAGUGUUUUUCAAUGAAAGCUUGGAGAAGCUGCUUAUAUAUUAGGCAUCAAGAUCUAUAGAGAUAGAUCAAGACGCCUCAUUGGUCUUUCACAGAGUACAUACCUUGACAAGAUAUUGAAGAAGUUCAAUAUGGAUCAGUCCAAGAAGGGGUUCUUGCCUGUAUUGCAAGGUGUGCAAUUGAGCACGGCUCAAUGCCCGACCACGGCAGAAGAUAUAGAAGAGAUGAGUGUUAUCCCGUAUGCCUCGGCCAUAGGGUCUAUUAUGUAUGCCAUGCUGUGUACCAGACCUGAUGUAAACCUUGCCGUAAGUUUGGUAGGAAGGUACCAAAGUAAUCCCGGCAAGGAACACUGGACGGCGGUCAAGAAUAUCCUGAAGUACCUGAAGAGGACUAAGGAUAUGUUUCUCGUUUAUGGAGGUGACGAAGAGCUCGUCGUAAAGGGUUACGUCGACGCUAGCUUCGACACAGAUCUGGAUGACUCGAAGUCACAGACCGGAUACGUGUAUAUAUUGAAUGGAGGAGCAGUAAGCUGGUGCAGUUGCAAGCAAAGCGUCGUGGCGGGAUCUACAUGUGAAGCGGAGUACAUGGCAGCCUCGGAGGCAGCACAGGAAGCAGUCUGGAUGAAGGAGUUCAUUACCGACCUAGGGGUGAUUCCCAAUGCGUCGAGCCCGAUGACUCUCUUCUGUGACAACACUGGAGCUAUUGCCCUUGCGAAGGAGCCCAGGUUUCACAGGAAGACCAGGCAUAUCAAGUGUCGCUUCAACUCCAUUCGUGAAAGUGUUCAAAAUGGAGACAUAGAUAUUUGUAAAGUACAUACGGACCUGAAUGUAGCAGAUCCGUUGACUAAACCUCUCCCUAGGGCAAAACAUGAUCAACACCAGGACGCAAUGGGUGUUCGAUUCAUCACAAUGUAACUAGAUUAUUGACUCUAGUGCAAGUGGGAGACUGUUGGAGAUAUGCCCUAGAGGCAAUAAUAAAUGGUUAUUAUUAUAUUUCUUUGUUCAUGAUAAUAGUCUAUUGUUCAUGCUAUAAUUGUAUUGUCCGGAAAUCGUAAUACAUGUGUGAAUACAUAGACCACAACGUGUCCCUAGUAAGCCUCUAGUUGACUAGCUCGUUGAUCAACAGAUAGUCAUGGUUUCCUGACUAUGGACAUUGGAUGUCAUUGAUAACAGGAUCACAUCGUUAGGAGAAUGAUGUGAUGGACAAGACCCAAUCCUAAGCAUAGCAUAAAAGAUCGUGUAGUUUCGUUUGCUAGAGCUUUUCCAAUGUCAAGUAUCUUUUCCUUAGACCAUGAGAUCGUGCAACUCCCGGAUACCGUAGGAGUGCUUUGGGUGUGCCAAACGUCACAACGUAACUGGGUGACUAUAAAGGUGCACUACGGGUAUCUCCGAAAGUGUCUGUUGGGUUGGCACGGAUCGAGACUGGGAUUUGUCACUCCGUGUGACGGAGAGGUAUCUCUGGGCCCACUCGGUAAUGCAUCAUCUUAAUGAGCUCAAUGUGACUAAGGCGUUAGUCACGGGAUCAUGCAUUGCGGUACGAGUAAAGAGACUUGCCGGUAACGAGAUUGAACAAGGUAUUGGGAUACCGACGAUCGAAUCUCGGGCAAGUAACAUACCGAUUGACAAAGGGAAUUGUAUACGGGAUUGAUUGAAUCCUCGACACCGUGGUUCAUCCGAUGAGAUCAUCGUGGAACAUGUGGGAGCCAACAUGGGUAUCCAGAUCCCGCUGUUGGUUAUUGACGGGAGAGGCGUCUCGGUCAUGUCUGCAUGUAUCCCGAACCCGUAGGGUCUACACACUUAAGGUUCAGUGACGCUAGGGUUGUAGAGAUAUAUGUAUGCGGAAACCCGAAAGUUGUUCGGAGUCCCGGAUGAGAUCCCGGACGUCACGAGAGGCUCCGGAAUGGUCCGGAGGUGAAGAAUUAUAUAUAGGAAGUCCAGUUUCGGCCACCGGGAAAGUUUCGGGGGUUACUGGUAUUGUACCGGGACCACCGGAAGGGUCCCGGGGGUCCACCGGGUGGGGCCACCUAUCCCGGAGGGCCCCGUGGGCUGAAAGUGGAAGGGAACCAGCCCUUAGUGGGCUGGGGCGCCCCCCUUGGGCCUCCCCCCAUGCGCCUAGGGUUGGGAACCCUAGGGGGAGUUCCCCCUUGCCUUGGGGGGCAAGGCAACCCCUUCCCCCCUUGUGGCCGCCGCCCCCCCUUGAGAUCCCAUCUCUUGGGACCGGCGCCCCCCCAGGAGGCCUAUAUAAAGGGGGGAGGGAGGGCAGCAAUACACAGCCUUGGGCGCCUCCCUCCUCCCCUGCAACACCUCUCUCUCUCUCGCAGAAGCUUGGCAAAGCCCUGCCGAGACCCGCUACAUCCACCACCACGCCGUCGUGCUGCUGGAUCUCCAUCAACCUCUCCUUCCCCCUUGCUGUAUCAAGAAGGAGGAGACGUCGCUGCACCGUACGUGUGUUGAACGUGGAGGUGCCGUCCGUUCGGCACUCGGUCAUUGGUGAUUUGGAUCACGGCGAGUACGACUCCGUCAUCCACGUUCAUUGGAACGCUUCCGCUCGCGAUCUACAAGGGUAUGUAGAUGCACUCCUUUCCCCUCGUUGCUAGUAGACUCCAUAGAUGCAUCUUGGUGAGCGUAGGAAAAUUUUAAAUUAUGCUACGAUUCCCAACAACAGACCCGUUGACUAAAAUUAUCUCACAAGCAAAACAAGAUCACACCUUAUUACUCUUUGGGUGUUAAUGACAUAGCGAUGUGAACUAGAUUACUGACUCUAGUAAACCUUUUGGGUGUUGGUCACAUGACGAUGUGAACUAUGGGUGUUAAUCACAUGGUGAUGUGAACUAUUGAUGUUAAAUCACAUGGCGAUGUGAACUAGAUUAUUGACUCUAGUGCAAGUGGGAGACUGAAGGAAAUAUUCCCUAGAGGCAAUAAUAAAGUUAUUAUUUAUUUCCUUAUAUCAUGAUAAAUGUUUAUUAUUCAUGCUAGAAUUGUAUUAACCGGAAACUUGAUACAUGUGUGAAUACAUAGACAAACAGAGUGUCACUAGUAUGCCUCUACUUGACUAGCUCGUUGAUCAAGGAUGGUUAUGUUUCCUAGCCAUAGACAUGAGUUGUCAUUUGAUUAACGGGAUCACAUCAUUAGGAGAAUGAUGUGAUUGACUUGACCCAUUCCGUUAGCUUAGCACUCAAUCGUUUAGUAUGUUGCUAUUGCUUUCUUCAUGACUUAUACAUGUUCCUAUGACUAUGAGAUUAUGCAACUCCCGUUUACCGGAGGAACACUUUGUGUGCUACCAAACGUCACAACGCAACUGGGUGAUUAUAAAGGUGCUCUACAGGUGUCUCCGAAGGUACUUGUUGGGUUGGCGUAUUUCGAGAUUAGGAUUUGUCACUCCGAUUUUCUGAGAGGUAUCUCUGGGCCCUCUCGGUAAUGCACAUCACUUAAGCCUUGCAAGCAUUGCAACUAAUGAGUUUGUUGCAACAUGAUGUAUUACAUAACGAGUAAAGAGACUUGUCGGUAACGAGAUUGAACUAGGUAUUGAGAUACCGACGAUCGAAUCUCGGGCAAGUAACAUACCGAUGACAAAGGGAACAACGUAUGUUGUUAUGCGGUCUAACCGAUAAAGAUCUUCGUAGAAUAUGUGGGAGCCAAUAUGAGCAUCCAGGUUCCGCUAUUGGUUAUUGACCGGAGACGUGUCUCGGUCAUGUCUACAUAGUUCUCGAACCCGUAGGGUCCGCACGCUUAACGUUUCGAUGACAGUUAUAUUAUGAGUUUAUAUGUUUUGAUGUACCGAAGGUUGUUCGGAGUCCCGGAUGUGAUCACGGACAUGACGAGGAGUCUCGAAAUGGUCGAGACAUAAAAAUUGAUAUAUUGGAAGCCUAUGUUUGGAUAUCGGAAGUGUUCCGGGUGAAAUCGGGAUUUUACCGGAGUACCGGGAGGUUACCGGAACCCCCCGGCAACAUAAUGGGCCUUAGUGGGCCUAGGUGGAAGAGAGGAGAGGCGGCUAGGGCUGGGCCGCGCGCCCCUCCCCCCUAGUCCGAAUAGGACAAGGAGAAGGGGGCGUCGCCCCCCCUUCCUUCUUCCCCCUCUCCUCUUUCCCCCUUCCCAAGUCCUAAUCCAACUAGGAAAAAGGGGGGAGUCCUACUCCCGGUGGGAGUAGGACUCCUCCUCGCGCGCCCCAAGGCUGGCCGCACCUCCCCCCUUUGAUCCUUUAUAUACGGGGUCAGGGGGGCACCCCAUAGACACAACAAUUGAUCUCUUGAUCUCUUAGCCGUGUGCGGUGCCCCCCUCCACCAUAAUACACCUCGAUAAUAUCGUAGCGCUGCUUAGGCGAAGCCCUGCGUCGGUAGAACAUCAUCAUCGUCACCACGCCGUCGUGCUGACGGAACUCUCCCUCAAAGCUCGGCUGGAUCGGAGUUUGAGGGACGUCAUCGAGCUGAACGUGUGCUGAACUCGGAGGUGCCGUACGUUCGGUACUUGGAUCGGUCGGAUCGUGAAGACGUACGACUACAUCAACCGCGUUGUCAUAACGCUUCCGCUUUCGGUCUACGAGGGUACGUGGACAACACUCUCCCCUCUCGUUGCUAUGCAUCCCCAUGAUCUUGCGUGUACGUAGGAAAUUUUUGAAAUUACUACGUUCCCCAACACAGGCUAACGAACGAACGUUCGCUGUCUGUCACUAACGGGUGAACGGCGUUCGUUCAAACGAACGAACGGACGAACGUCCGCAAAAUAAAUAAACCGACGGAAAAACCGAUCUAAUGAAUUAAACCGGAAAUUAAAAAAACGGAUCUAGAUCUAGGGUUUACCGAAAUAAACCGACGAAAGAAAAAAAAACGGCGGCGGCGGCGGCUAACUCCGGCGAACAGCGGGGCGGCUCCGGCGGCUUGCGCGACGGCGCAGCGACGCGCCGGCGGCGGCGGCAUGGCGCUCGAGGUGGCGGCGGUUAGGGUUUGGCGGCGUGGUGGGCUACGGCAGGGUGGGCUGGCGGGGUGGGCUGUGGGGCAGGGGGGCGGCUUAUAAAGCCUCGGGCGGUGGUAGAGUCCGGGUCGCCCACGGCCCGGUAGGUCGGUUGACCUUUUUUUUAAAAAAACGUGUCACAAAAAAAGAAGAAAAGAAAUACUAAACGGACUUCAAAAAUCCCGAAAUAAAUUUUCCCCGUCCUCUAAAAAUAUGCCGGGCAGAGUGAACAUUUAUUUGGGCCUAUAAUGCAAUUUUGAAAAAUGCGUAUUUUCCUAAUUCAAAUAAAAUUGCUAUAAAAUCAAAUAUUUGAUUUUAAUAUUUUUCCUCCAAUAUUUCAUUUAUUUUGGAGAAGUCAUAUUAUCUCCUCUCAUAUAUAUAUUUUGAUAUGAAAUAUUUUCAAAGGGAAAAUAAAUUAAAACCAACGUGAUCCUUGUUUCAAUAUUUGAUAAAAUUCAAAUAUGUAAAUCGUGAAAUCCCCAACUCUCUCCGAGGGUCCUUGAGUUGCUUAGAAUUUCGAGGAUCGCAAACGAAAAUGCAAUAAAAUAUGAUAUGCAUGAAUGACCUAUGUAUAACAUUCCAAAUUGAAAAUUUGGGAUGUUAGAGUCAUCAAGUCGGAUGUGUAUUGAACGCGGAGGUGCCGCGGCACUUGAUCGGGAGUUCGUGGACGGAUCGUGAUUGGAUCGCGAAGACGUUCAACUACAUCAACGCGUUUCUUAACGCUUUCGCUUACCAACCUACAAUGGUAUGUAAAUCCAAUCUCCCAUCUCGUAGAUGGUCAUCUCCUAGAUUGAUCUUGGUGAGUGUAGAAAUCUUUUUGUUUCUCAUGCAACGUUCCCCAUCACCGCACACACCCUCUACACGGAGCACGGCAAGAGCGGGCCGUUCUCAUCUGACGAAGACGAAGAGGACCCGAAGUCGACACCAAGAAGGUUCCGCCCGCGACCCCGGCCGGAUCUGGAACCGCCGUCAGCACCACCCUCAACAUCGCCAGAGGAACCGGUCGCCAUGGUUUCGCGCACAAGACAGGAAAGGGAGGGGAAUGAAAGCGAGGGAAAGUGAAGAGAGCGAGGCAGUGAGCUAAACAAGCGAUGGUAACGGCGUCUGGCCUCGGCUGUUUGCCCUGGCUACGUGGUUCCGGCGGGUGGGCCCAAAAUGUUAGAUUUUCACUUAGUCGCGGCUCACAACCCGUUUAGUGUAUUUUGUUAUUCACUUGCCACAGAAAUGAUGACCUUUUGUGAUUUUUGACAUAAACGAUAGUGUUACAGUACUCUAGCCAUAAAUGAGAUGGUUUUUAGCAAAUUUACUAGUAUUGCCCAUGCUAAAAGAUACUAGUGCAGUGGUGGCAGUGCUUCACGUGCAUGUUUCACUGGUCCAUGCGCUUUCGUCCUCGAAGGAGGUCUACACCGUAAUCUGAAGAUGAUUACGCUAAAGCGCUCUGAAAUACAACUAUUUAUCUCAAAGCUUUCAUGGAAGGGAGCGUUAACCGGGCACGAAAGCGCAGGUACAGGUGCAGUGUUGGUACACGCGUGCACCUGUCAGUAAUCGAUCGAUGCGCCUCCCGUCUCUGCCACGUUUUCCGCUUUCCCGGUUUCCCUGCCGUUGCUUUGCCCGGUUCUCGAUGUCGUGGGAUAAGGAUGGUGACUGUGUAGGGGCCCGGCCGGGGCCGGGAUAUGCCAUGGAAUCUACCCACCCUGCUUCUUCCUUCCGGCAAAAGAGACAACGACGAACGGCGGUGGCGGCCGCCGCUGGUUUCACGGUGCGACGGGGCCGGCCCGGCUCGCGCUUGCAGUACAAUAUGAGCUAGGAGCGAGUCGAGGCCUUCAAAUCUUCAAAUAUUGAUCUACGAACAAAUAAGAGGCCAAAUUUACCCAGUUGAGUUGAAGAUGCUUUAGAAGAUUAAAAAUACACCGGCUGUGAUUCUGUCUUGUGCAUAGUUCUCGCUGCCGGAGAAAUUAAUCUUCGUUCCACAUUGUUGUUGGUUCUCUCUCGGGUUUCACGUUGACAAACCUCUGUUAGAUUCUCUUCUUAGAUCACAUUUUACAUCAUUUUUCUUCCUAGAUCACAUUUUACACCAUUUUUGCUACCAAUGUCUCGCAGACGUUAGAUUCAUCGAUCGCGAGGAGAGGGGGAGCAUGUGCGGCCAUGCGCGAAUGUUUCUCCUCUUAGCGUGCAUGCACGUUGAAUCUUUCGAUAGAUGGCGAGUAAAAGAUAACAUCAGUUCGGUGACCCAGCCACAUUUUAAAUCGGAUUUAUAAACUAGAAAACACACAACACACCAACGACGGAUACAGAGCUGACGACAUGCAGUUCAUUGCACGGCUAUGAAACAUCUCUAGCCACACAUUCACCACCGCAACUACUAAUUGAACAGUAAAUCGACACGACACGACACGACAAUAGCUCGUUGGAGCAGAUGAUUCACUGACUAGCAGCUGCAAUACGACUAAGAUCACCGAGCUGCAAACUUAUUAAACACGCCCAGCAGCUGGAUCUAGGGGUUGUAGAAGACGAUCUUGAUCUCGUCGACGCCGUGGCACUUGCCGCCGGGGACGGAGUGCUCGAAGCAGUGGCCACCGCUGUUGCAGCCGGCGGUGGGGCAGUGGUCUUUCAGGGGGUGGCCGUGGGGGGUGAUGGAGACACGGAUGGGCAUGUGGGACUGGUCGGUGCUCACCUGGUACCACGCCCCGCCGUCGUACCCGAUGUGAAACUCCGUCACCACGGCGUCCUGCACCUUCACGCGCCCCGUCCACGAGCACACGUCGUACGACACGUGGGUGCCGUGGCGGAGCAGGUAGCCAGGGCUGUAGAGGAGCUUGCUGUUGGCCAGCGGCUCGAUGCCGAGGUAAAGGUCCUUGCCGCACAGGUUCUGCACCGUCACCUUGCGGCUCGGCUUGCAGUUUUGGGGAUCCUGACCGGCGGCGGACAUGGCAGUCGCUGCCAGCGCCACGGCGAGGAGGAGAGCCGCCAGGGGCUUGGGGAACGCCAUUGGCUGUUUGGAGUGUUACUCGCUGGUUUGGAGUGAAGAGGAGUGACUAAUGCCGGUGGUUUGAGUUGAGGUUUAGGGCUCACUGUGAAGGGUAUUUAUAGGCUCAGGGAAGGCUCCCACUCAAUCAAAAGAGGAAGAAAAAAACUCAGGGAAGGCUUGGCACGAAGUUUCGAGAUAUGAUAUUCAAGCUAACAUAUUUUAAAAAGGAUUUUAUAUCAUGGGAUGUAGGGAAUAUAUAGUUAUUCUACAUGUAAAUAAACACUAAAAAAAGAAAUAUCCCUUGAUUUUUGGGUGUAUAUAGGCCUCUUAUGAGGAAUUUUUAUAUAAUUAAAAAAAGUUAAAACAGUUUGAAAGUUUUUUACAAUAAUUUGACUUUUUUUGCACUAGUAUAUAAAUUUUCACGGAUAAAAAACCAGCAUCAACUUCAGGGCCAAAAGAAUACAAAAACUAUUUGCUAUUAUAAGUCACUAAUCACACUAUUUGAUCGAUUUUUGUCUUUUUUGAAAAGAAAUCAAUGAUUUUUUUCUUUCUAUGGGAUUUUUUACCAAUACAAUGGAAGGUCAAGUCUAUUUUAAAAAUAUUUUCAGAAUUUGUUAAUUUUUUAGUUACUAUUUUUUUUCUUAUAGAGUGUAUAUACGACCAUUGACCAAAAGUUCCCUUCCCUAAAAAAGUUAUUAAAUUGGUUGUGUUGGAGAGCGGGUGGAUAUGUCUUCGAUGGAUCUCGCGGAUUCUAUAGUAUUUGUCUUUGAUGGAUCUGUGUGGAUUCGGUCUUCAUUUCAUUUACGUUCAUGUGUCUAAAGAUUGGAUCAUUUCUAUCUACGCUUCUCUCGUUGGUGGAUGUUGUUGUUUUAGUGUACUAGUCUUUUGGAACUAGCAUGACGAGUCUCAGCUGUCUACUAUAAAAGCAUCUUCAAUAGAUGAUGCAGAUGUGUAAAUAACUGAUGUUUACAUCUACGCCGAGGCCCAAGAAUGUUGCUCCAAUACAUGAUGUAGAUGUAUGAACUUUUACAUCACCUCUUUCAAAUGAUGUAAAAUACAACAUUUAGAGAUGCAAAUUUACAUCUUCAACCGCCUCAGAUUUAAACAAAGAUGUAAAAUGGCCGGCAGCACGCGAACUCCAACCACCCUGAAAUUUCCCAUCCCCUCCCCCGAUAGGUUGCCUACCUCAAUCCGCCACCCUGUCGUCGGCCUGCCGCUGGCAGAUCCGGCCUUCCCACCCCCGCCGGUGCCGGAUCUGUCGCCGCUUCGCCGCCCAAUGCCACUAAAUGACCCCAAAUCGCUGUCGUUUCGCUGCUUCGCUACUGCCGCCCGCCGCACCAUUUGAACCUCGCCUGCCGCCCUACCGCUCGUCUCCAAAAUCACAAGUUAGACAAAAUCGAUACCUUAAUUAUGACAAAUCCUCACAUACCUACUGACAAAUCUUGAGUAAUUAUGACAAAUCCUCACAUACCUACUGAUAAAGGUGCUUCUGAUUUAAUCAUAUAUUACUUACCUUAUGUCCAUACUUGGUCCUAAUUUAUCCCUCGCAAAAGAAACAUAUCUGUUCCAAAAUCGGCAACAAGUUUCUUUAUUGGAAUUUUCUCUCGGACGGGAUAAUUAAUGGUGCAAUUCAACUAGGAAGGUUCAAUCAUUUUAGUAGCAGCAACGCCAUGCAAAUUAUUUGGAAGGUAACAUGUGUCAUCCCUUUUUUUAAGCACCAACCAUAGAACAAUCGUUUUACGGUAAUUUUCUAUUAAUAAAAAGUAAAGAUAUGUACAUAAGUGCAAGAGAGAAAAAAAUUGUCUACUAUCCUGUAUCCAACUCCAGUUUUCUCCAACAUGAAACUAUUAUAAUAAAUCUAUGAUUAAGUAACGCAUCAUUCUAGAUGAUCCUUAAUCCACCUCUGAAGGGAAUCUAGGUGCUUUGCUUUUAUUCUAUGAGGCAGCAGAGUCAAGUCUUGUUUUAGCCUGAAUUUCCAGCAAUUGACACUAGGCACUUCUUUCCUAAAAAUAUUUUCAUUUCUUUGGCACCAGGUGGACCAACACCCUUGGAUUAUAACUUACAUGGCAAUGUUAUGUGGUAGAAGUUGAUGUGCUAGAUGAAUGUCAUGAAUGGAAGAGAUUCCCAAAUUUUUUUCCUAGUAGUAUACUGUUCCAGCAAUCUUGCACAAAACCACAAUCCCAAAAAAGUUGUCUCAAAGUCUCUUCAGUCUUAUCAUUGCAGAGAACAUAUUCAUAGCACUCCAAGUGAAAGUUCUUCCUUUUAAGUAGGUUUCUGGUAUUGACUCUAUCAUGGAUUAACAGCCAGAAGAAAAUUCUAUGUCUGAGCCUGCGAGCAUUUUUUCAGAGCCAUUUAUAUAUUAUGUGUUUCUCUCGCUUUUGACAUAAAUUUUGGUACAUUGUGAUGGCUGAGAAUUUGUCUUUUUGUCAUGUGCUUGUUCACUUGUCAUUGUUCUGAACCUCAUUCUUAACUAGAACUUAAAUUUUGGUACAUUGUGAUGGCUGAGAAUUUAUAAGAAUCCCUCUAAUAACUAGAACUGGUCAUAUGCCUGUGUGGACAAUGGAGUUUGAAACAUAUUUGUAUGAUCUUGUUGUUGAAUCCAGUCUGAAGCAGGAAUUGUAUCAUUUAGGGCAUAUGAAUGUAACUCUGGGAAUUUAUCUUUGAGAGGUUGUUCAAGCCAACAGUCAUGCCAAAGCAGAACUCCCAUUACCCAUCUUGCAAACUGAGUGUUGUUUAUACUCUUGCAACAAUUUCAAGUGACAUUUCCACCAAGUAGAUCCUUCCAGCUUGAAUCCAGGAAGAGAGUCUGAAUAGUACUUCUCCCAGAUGAGUUUUACCCAGGGAAGAGGUUGCUUGUUGAAGAAUUUUCUAAUGUUCUUCAUUAGUAAAGCUUUGUUGUGGGUUGCAAAAAAUUCCAAGUCCCCCAUGUUCUUUGGGUCUACAGAUCAUGUCCCAAGCAAUCAGAGUUGGCCCAACAAUUAUUUGUUCACAUUUUCUCCAGAGAAAAGGUCUCAGAUACUUGUUAAUCUCAGUAAUUACUGAGGCUGGCAGUGGUAAUGUGCUCAUAAAGAAUAUUGGUAGUGCAUAGGAAACUGAUUGUAUCAAAAGCAAGCUUCCAUCAUAUGAGAGCAUGGUUGAACAUCCAGAAAACCUCCUUUCAAUUUGUUUUGACAAAUGGGGGGUGAAAUCCUCAAUUUUUAAUCUGUUAGCACUUAAGGAGAGCCCUAGGUAAGUGAAUGGAAAAUUUCCUUCUUUCCAGCCUAGAGUGCUGAGUAGCUGAUUGAAUAAAGCAUCCUCCACAUUGAUGGGUAUCAUGAUUGACUUGUGGAAAUUUAUAUUUAAACCAGUGUGAGCAGCAAAGUGUUUUAGAAGGUUAUCCACUUGUUGCAAUUGUCUUGGAAAAGCAGGAAGAAUUAGGAUAGUAUCAUCUGCAUAUUGGAUCACAAAAAUCUGAGUUUGAGUUGAGGGGAGUGGGUGUUGAAUGAGUCCAGCCACCAUUGCUUUAUUCAAUAUUGUUUGAGGAAAAUCAGCAGCAAUCACAAAGAUAAGUGGGGCAAGAGGAUCUCCUUGUCUUACGCACCUUUUACAAUGAAAUUGCUUACCAGGCACCCCAUUUAGCAUCACAGAUGAAUACCCUGAGCUGAAAAUCAUUUGGAUCCACUUGAUCCAUCUAUUCCCAAAUCCUCUAACUUUUAGAAUUUUCAAGAUUGUGUCAUGCUCUAUCAUAUCAAAAGCUUUCUCAAAGUCAAGAUUAAGCAAAACCAUUGGUAGUUUAGACUGUUGACAUUGAUGUUGAACUCAAAUGCCCAUGCCAAACAGUGUUGGAUGGACCUAUUUUUUGAGAAAACCAUACUGGUUGGUAUGAACCAGCUGAAGAAUAAUCUUCUGCAAUCUGUUUGCCAACAAUUUUGUAAUAAUUUUGAUAGAGCAGUUCGGGGGGGAUAUAGGUCUGAAGUCCCGAGGUUGUUGUGGGUUAUCCUUUUUGGGGAUAAGGGAAAUGUAUGGCCCAUUUAUAGGUUGCAAAUUGAUUUUCCCCAUGUAAAAGUCAUUGAUGAGCUCAUAAAAAUCUUCAACAAUAAUAGGCCAACAAGCUUUUAUAAAAGCUCCAUUAAAUCCAUCUGGUCUAGGUGCCUUGUCAGGGGGAGACUUUAUGACUUCAUCUUUUUCUUCUUUUGUGAAUGGGAUUUCAAGUUCUGCAAGACAAGGUCUGUCUGGAAAAAGCUCUUCCAUAUUGAAAAAGUUCUCUGUGGGGUUCGAUGUUCCCAUUCUAUAUUUGAAUGUCCUCCAUAGUAUAACUGCUUUGGCUUGGUGUUCAUUGUGUUCCACCAAGUUCUCGUCCAGGAGGGUUUUGAUGUGGUUGUUUCUAUACUUGAUAGUAGCUUUUGCCUGGAAGAAGUCAGUGUUUUCAUCCGCAAAUUUGAACCAACGAAUUGUAGCUCUCUGUUUCCAGUAUAUAUUUUGAUAUGAUAACAGAUUUCUCAAAUGUUGCUUUAUUAUAUUCCUUCCAUUCCAUUCUUCUAUGGUGAGCACUCUAUACUCUUCCAAGAUAUCAUACAGCAAAAUUAGCUGAUUUGAAUUUUUGAUAAGCAUACUCAGCUGAGAAAUGUUUUUAGACGUUCUAUAAGCCUCUUGAAUUUUGUUGUAAUUCUCUUUGCACUUGUGUGAGCCUAAACUUCUUGAUCCCAUAUGUUUUUAACAGUAUCUUGAAACCCUGGAAUCUUCAGCCAAAAGUUCUCAAAUCUGAAUAUGUUUGACUUGGGUAUACUUGUUCCAUUUUGCACAAUACAUAGGACAUGAUCCGAGAUAGGCUUAGCAAGACUGUAGGCCAUAGUAUUUGGGUAGUUGAGUGUCCAGGAUUCUAAAUAAAACACCAAUCUAACUUUUCUAAUACAGGUGCUUCUUGCAUGUUACUCCAGGUAAAAUUUCCGCCCUUAAGUGGAAUUUCCACCAAACCCAAUUACUUAUUGUAGCAUUAAAGUUCAUCAUGUCUUCAAUAUCACCACCAGGUCUGCUUCUGUUGCAAGGGUACCUAAUAUAGUUGAAAUCACCCAGAACUAGCCAAUCCCAGUUAGUGGGCAUGUCAACAUUCUCAAAUCACUCAAUAAAUUCAGCUCUCUUAUAAGCUUGACAUGGUCCAUAGAUAUUGGUCAAGAUCCAUUUGCUACCAUUAUAAUUGGAAGUGAAUUCAAUGGAAAGAGCAUACUGACUGUCAAAUUUUUUGCAUCCCAUGAAGAUCUUCUCAUUCAAAGCUACUAAUAGUCCACCACCAGCACCCACUCAUGGCACAAAUUCGAACUCGUUAAAUCUUUUUGAUAGAGAUUUCUUAAGAAAAACUGAGUCAAUUGUUUGUCUUUUGGUCUCUUGCACUCAAAUAAUGUCACAUUGGGAUUCUUCGAUUUUAUUUGAGAGGGCUAACCACUUACUUCUGUCCCCCGUUCCCCUGAUAUUCCAAUUUAGUAUUUUCCACUCUCUAUUCAUGAUAGAAUUUAUGUUUUAGUCUCUAAAUGACUACUUUGCAUAUCAAAACAUUUCUCCUCAUAGAAAUCAACCAGACUAUUACCAUCCACUUCAUACCAAAAUAUUCCCCAAUAUUACAGGUUUUUUCAAUAGCACAUGCAAGAAAUACAUGGAAACACUACAAAAUCUCAAUCCAUGUGUUAACGGAUUAAACCCGAUAAUCUGUCUAGCCAUUUGAGUAUCAGAUUAUGGAACAACACAGCAGCAUCUAGGCAAGAUGCCUGGGCAUUUAGCUGACCCAAACCGUCAUAUAUAUGUGAUUAAAAAAUAUACCCUAGAAAACUUCUUUACAAUAUGAAUUCAACGAUAUAAUUAUUAUUACAAACAAUUCAUAUUUAGUUUGUCUAAUUUAUGGUCAAAUUGACUUUAGGGAUACGUGUAUGCCUUAUUCAUCGGGACGUGGGAGUAGAAAUCGAGAAGUGAUUACAAACUGUAGUUUGUUUACCGGGAACGGACGGGGUAGGAAUUGGGAGGCGAUUACGAACUGUAAUUGUUUACUGUUAUCACGCCGUACUUGUCAGCUAAGAGCAUGUCCAACAACCGCGCUAUAUAAGCAUCGCGCUAGAAAUUUUGGGUUUUUAGCACGCGCGCAACCGCUACGGGAGCUCCAGCGGAGGCGCAAUAACCGCACGUGCGGCAUAAAGAGUUCAGCGCGCGGUCCGAAAUGCCAUCGUGCGUCGUUUAUUUGCUGCGCCUGCUUCCGCGCGCCGCACACUCGAGCGCCCGCUCGCGACUUCCACCUACCCCGAGCGCCGCCUCCCGCACCAUCCCAUUUGUUCCGGCGCUUCCCCGGCCUAUCCCCGCGCCGCCGCUGCAUCCUUCGUCUCCCUCCAGUUGCCACCGCCCCUCGCGCGCACCAUUCCUCCGACGAACAGUGUCCGGCCGCCCACUGCUGCUCGGCGCCCACAAGGUGUUUGACAAAACGCUUGCAAGGUAUGUAUUGCUUCAACUUCACAUUUUUUACAUGAAUUUGAUGCAUAGUUUUUAUAGUCUAGUUUAAAUUGAACAUUGUAGAUGAGUUCGUCAUAUGAUUCUUCGGAAGAAGAAUUUUAUAUUGAAGAGGAGGAUCUUGCAAUGAUCCUAGCUAUGCACAUCAAUAAAAAACCAAAGCACGGUGGUUGGGUUAUGGGUCGGCAGAAAAUUUGGAGGGAUAGGAUCGAUGCCCGCAAUAGAUUGAUAAGGCACUAUUUUGUGGAGAACCCCCACAUACCCCGAGUCGUAUUUCCGUCGCCGGUUUAGGAUGAGCACCGAGUUGUUAAGGCGCAUUGCAGAGAAACUAGCGAGUCAUGACCGGGGUUUUCAGCAAAGGAGGAAUGCCGCCGGAGAGCUCGGGCAUAGCACCUUUCAGAAGGUGACAGCCGCUUUGCGUAUGUUGGUAUACGGUAUUCCGGUUGAUCUAGUUGAUGACCACCUGGCCAUGGGUGAGAGUCAAGCCAUCAUGUGUGUCAACCGCUUCGCAGUCAGAAUUGUGCAAGUGUUUGGCCUGGAGUAUUUGAGAUCUCCCAAUGUUGAAGAAUGUGCACGGCUUUUGGAGAUGAACAAAGCUCGCGGGUUCCCAGGUAUGCUUGGCUCAAUAGACUGCAUGCAUUGGAGUUGGAAGAACUGUCCUAAGGCAUGGCAUGGGCAAUUCCACGGCUAAAAAAGGAUUCCACUAUAAUGCUUGAAGCGGUGGCCGAAAGAGACUUGGAUUUUUUGGAAUGCAUGGAUCUUUGAAUGACAUCAACGUUGUUAAUCGGUCACCACUGAUGAAUAAGAUUGCAAAUGAUGAAUUGCUACCGAUGCAGUUUGUAGCAAAUGCCCGUACAUACAACUAUGACUACUAUCUUGCGGAUGGUAUCUACUCAAAGUGGCAAAAAUUUGCGAAGCCGUUGAAAAAACCGGAAGGUAAGGAAAAUCUUGAUUUCCAUAAUGCUCAGGCGGCGGAUAGAAAAGAUGUGGAGAGAGCUUUUGUGAUUUUGCAAGCCAAAUUUGCUAUUGUGAGAGGCUGGCUAGAUUUUGGGAUCAAAAGAUGCUUUGGUACAUCAUGCACGCUUGUGUGAUCAUGCACAACAUGAUCAUCGAGAAUGAGCGUGGCCAAAAUUUAGACUACUCUCACUAUGAGCUCUUAGAACAUCCCGUGCGAGUGCGGUGGGGAGGGCUGCCAGGGUGGCCCAUUUUGUUGCCUCCUGUCAUGCUAUUCGAUGUGUCGAAACGCAUGAUGAUCUUCAAAAGGAUCUCAUCGAGGAGUGGUGGCAUGGAAUGGCCGACAAAGAGCAUCAUGAUUUGUGUGUUUAAUGCUGCAUGUUUGAUGUGGUAUUGUUGAACUAUUUGUUCUAUUGCAAGAUAAACUAUUUGUUUGAGUUGUAAUAAUAAAAUUGAACUAUUUAUUAUUGAUUUAUUUUGUCUGUGUUUGAUGUUCUUGGUUGUGUUUGAAGUGCAUAUGUUGUUUGUGCGAGAGCGAGAGCACAAUUUUAUUGCAGCGGCUGCUGGAGCGGCUCGUGGGCGCUAAACUUUUCAGCAGCCACUGGAGCAAGCAUUCCUUGCCGUGCAAAAACUCGUGGUCAGCGUGCUGUAAAUGAUUUUUUAGCGCAGCGCGCGUUGCGGCUGCUGGAGAUGCAAGUGUAACGUGUGAGAGCAUCUCCAGCCGCGCCCCCAACAAGGCCCCCAGGCAAUUUUUCAGCCGCCGGCACUGAAAAAUCGGCCCAGUCGCGCCCUCAAAGACCCAAUUUUCGCCGGCUCGUGCCGAAAUUGGCGCCGGCGGACCCAGGCCGAACCCGACGCGCUGGGGGGCGCUUGGGGGCGCCGGCUGAAUCGUUUUUGGCGCGAAAGUCGGCGGGCCCUCCUUGACAGCGACUCGGUUCUUCUCGCCACUUCGUCGUCCUCGUUGCCUCGGUUCCCGCGGUGAAUCAAUGCCAAAGCUGCCGCGCGCUGCUGCGGCGGUCAGCCUCCUCCAUUGAUGCCUCACGGACGGCGCAGUGAAGACCGGACGACGCGCGUCCCUCGCCCGCCACGCGUACGCGCGGUGCCUCCGCCUAUAUAAGCCGCCCCCAGUGCGCCGGUGACGCACAGACUCUCCACUGCCGACGCCCCGUUCCUCCCCCGUCCCUCCCUCUCCUCUCGCCAUUUCAGUUCAACCAUGGCCGAGCGCUUCCCAGGCGACGGCGCGGCGGCGAACGGCUUCGGCCGCCGCCACCUCCACGAGGACGAAGCUCGGCUCCUCUAUGAGGCCGAGUACCCGGUCCUGCCGGACAUGCGGGUGCCCGGGGCGUGGAGGAUUAGCGCCGGCGGGGUCCCGGUGCCACCACCGCCCACCGGAGCGGCGCGGCAUGCGGAGAUCGCGCGUAUCCGCGCCUCUCUGCCGCAGGCGGCGAGGGAAGGCCCAUGGUACGUCCCCGACAGCCCGCUGUGGGAGCCCUACUUCCGCCGCCGCCACGCCGAGCAGCUCGAGGCUACCAACGGCGUCGUGCCCUCUGGGAGGCUCAACUCCGAAGGCCGCCGCCGAUGGUGGGGCAUGCCCAGCCGCACGCUGGAGGCCGUCCUCGAGUACAUCGAGGGCGGCAACACGCCUAGGCUGGAGUACCCCGCUCCCCCGUCCUUCUCCCGUCGGCGUGGGAGCUCGUGGAUGCCGAGGCGCAUGGACCCGGGGGCGUCCUCCUCCUCGUCCAGCCGCUCGAUCGGCUCUCCCUGCCUCCGCCCCGUCAAGCCGGAAGCCCUAGGACACGCCGGUCAGCCACCGCACCCGCAGCUCCGGCGUCCGCAUCGCCGACUCCUCCCCCACCUCUGGCCGCCUCGUCCUCGUCAGGCCGAAGGCGGAGCCCGGCCUCCCCGCGGAGUACGAGGCCAUAGUCCGGCGCGGCUUCUCCGACGAGGAGGCCCUAAAGUGGGCGCGGGACGACUACCUCCGCGACGAGAUGGUCCGGCAGCGCCGAGCCCUGGAGGAGAUAGCCGCCCGCAAGCAUGGGCGCGAGGACGAGCACGGCGUGGUGAUCCUCGACAGCGACGAGGACGAGGACGCCCCCGGAUCGUCCAACCCGCCGCGCCAACCUGGGGAGGGGUGCAGCAGGGACGGCGGCCGCGGAGGAGGUGACGACGACGACAACGACGAC